RNAcentral lists this long non-coding RNA (52415 nucleotides) under Lactuca sativa (garden lettuce). Its description in RNAcentral is "long non-coding RNA (LSAT_LNC001280)". Lineage: Eukaryota; Viridiplantae; Streptophyta; Magnoliopsida; Asterales; Asteraceae. The record is from RNAcentral.
CAUACUACUCAUAGGAAACGACAUUCCAACCCUGCAGGAAGUAAAGUCCUGGCUUGGGAAGUGUUUCGCUAUGAAGGACCUUGGUGAAGCUGCCUAUAUUCUAGGGAUAAGAAUCUUGAGAGAUCGGAGUAAAAGACUAAUUGGACUUAGUCAGAGUACCUACUUGGAUAAGGUGCUGAAGAGAUUCAGCAUGCAAGAUUCCAAGAAAGGAGAGUUACCCAUCCAGAGUAACACUAGACUAAGUAAGACUCAGAGCCCGAGUACUGAGAUAGAGAUAGCUGAAAUGAGUCGUAUAACUUAUGCUUCGGCAGUAGGCUCGAUCAUGUAUGCUAUGACCUGUACUCGUCCUGAUGUAGCCUUUGCUUUAAGCAUGGUUAGCAGGUAUCAGGGGAACCCUGGUAAGGCUCACUGGACAGCGGUAAAGAAUAUUCUCAAGUACCUGCGGAGGACUAAGGACUGGGUCCUUACCCUCGGUGGGAGUGAUGACUUGAGAGUUGUAGGGUAUAGUGAUGCUAGCUUCCAGACUGAUAGGGAUAAUUUCCGCUCUCAGUCGGGCUGGGUCUUUACCCUAAACGGAGGAGCAAUUUCUUGGAAGAGUUCCAAGCAAGAGACAGUGGCAGAUUCUACUUGUGAAUCAGAGUAUAUUGCAGCUAGCGAGGCAGCAAAGGAGGCUAUAUGGCUGAAGAACUUCAUUGGAGACCUUGGAGUUGUACCAGCUAUUAAAGAGCCAAUGGAAAUUUUCUGUGAUAGUGAAAGUGCUGUUGCCUUAGCCAAGGAACCAAGGGAUCAUGGGAGAUCCAGACACAUUGACAAAAAAUAUCAUUUCAUCAGACAUCGUAUAGAAGAAGGACUCCUCAUGGCAAAGAGGGUAUCAUCAGAUGAGAACCCGGCAGAUCCCCUCACGAAGGGACUGGGUAGGGUUAAGCAUCUCCAGCAUGCUAGGAGCAUAGGGCUGAAGGAUGAUAUAAGUUAUAGUAGUUAGAUAAUUCUGAAAUAUGUAAAAUGUAUUUGACAUUUGAUGAUUAAUAAAAGUUGUGUUUAUUCAUGAGUAAAGUGUUGCUAUCUUUUGUCAAUCGUUUACUAUUAUUUCUUUUGCAUGUUUUGACUGCCCAAAUACUUAUGUUGUGUUUUUACAUAUUAUUCAAAUUAUCCAUAUUCGGUCAUAUGUCGGGAGUAGAUAUGAAUUAAGAUUGUCAUGAGUUGGUUGUAGAGGUCUAAGGUAUUGGACAUGGCCUCAACACUCAUGAGUGCUCAUAAGUUCUGAGUAUUGGAUUCAACCCAUGCUCGCUGGUAUCACUUCAUGGAAUUUAUCUCGAGUGAUCGCGAGACGGUAAUAUCAUAUAAGUCUUCAAACCUAGAGAUAUGACUUGUUAACUAUGAGUUAGUUAUGCAUUGAUCAUGCGAAAACGCAUUGGUAACUCGAUGUUAUAAAACGNAGUAGUAGAACAAACAUAUGAGUCGAAGUUUAUCUGUUCCUUCUUGGAUUAGAAGCUGAUAUCUGGGCCCCUCGAUGAUUUUGUUUUGACCUAUGUACCGGGCCCGGUCAGAACUAAGUUGAUGUGUUCAAUUAAGUUCUAUGUCAAACAAAUCGGUAAUCGGGAAACAAACUGCUGGACAAUAAGCAAGACCAUGUUCCAUGUGUUUGUCCGGCUUAUAUCUAGAACAGAGGAUUCUAUGAUCCCUUAUCUGAAAUGGCGUACCAUCGUCUUCUCAGUUCCGAGAAACCUUGAAAAGAGCUACGAUUGCCGAUCGGUUCCUGAAGUCAUACUUGCAGUUAUAGUUAUUAGACUUAUCCAUGUGGGAGAUUAUUUGAUAAGGUGUCUAACUCCAUAACUAUUUCUGGUAUGUACUUGACCCGACCCGGCAUGGUCCAUUUGGGUUGCAUGGCACCAUGCAAUUGGAUAGACUAAAUAAGAGAAAUAACACUUGUGGUUUAUUAAUAUAUUAUAAGUUCUGAUAUAUUAAUAAUAUUAUUUAAUUAGUUUGAUCAAGAAUUAAUUAAGUGAUCAAAAGAUAACUAAUUAAAUAUGUGGGUUGAUUAUGUAAAUCAUCCAUAACUUAUAUAGUGGGCUAAGAGGCUCCAUGGAUAAUCAAGUUGGGUUGAACCCAUUGGAUGCUCCAUGGAGGCUCCAUGGGAGUUACAAACCCAUGGGUCAUGGAAAUGAAGAGUCUUGACACAUUAGGGUUUACAUGGUGUAACCCUAAAUGUGUCAACACUAUAUAAAGCUCAUGUUUCUCCCAAAAUCGGGUACACAUGCAUGCUUGAGGGCUAGAGCCGUUUUUUAGAGUGUUAUACUUUCUCUCCAAGUUUACUCCAUAGCAUUUGGUGUUGUGUAAAGCAUUUGAGGCAUCACACUUGGAGUGCUAGGCUCACAAGGUUUCAAGGAUCAAAAUCAACAACAAGGUAUGUAGUUCUAUCUUUCAUUUAAGUUAAAAUUGUUCCCCAUGUAUGCUAGAUAGGAUCAUAACCUUGGAAAUCAACUUUGCAUGAGAAUUAGACAAACAUAGAUCCAAGGUUAUUAGGGUUGCAUGUACACUUAGGAAGUGUUAGAAUGCUCAAAACCCAUCAAUCUUUUCGUAAGAAAGUUGGGAAUCGUCUAAUGCUUGUUCAAAUUUAUGUUGAUGAUAUUGUUUUUGGCUCUACUAACCCAACUUUGUCUAGAGAAUUUGAAAAUCUGAUGAAAAGUCAAUUUGAAAUGAGCAUGAUGGAUAAAAUCAAUAAUUUUCUUGGUUUGAAUAUUCGACAAAGCAGAGAAGGAAUUUUCAUCAAUAAAGAGAAAUACACGAAGAAUUUGCUUUAGAAGUUUUGAAUGACUCACAGCACAAAGCUACGAGUGCCAAUGGCAGUAGGAAUGAAGUUAACACCUUCGUUAGAUUCACCUGCUGUUGAUCUUACAUUGUUUCGAAGCAUGAUAGGUUCUCUACUUUAUUUAGCUGCAAGUAGACUUGAUAUCAUGUUUUCUGUUUGCAAUUGUGCAAGGUAUCAAGCAAAUCCAAGAGAACCACAUUUAACAGCUGUGAAGAAUAUUUUUUGUUAUCUCAAAGGAGCAGUUUUAUUAGGAUUGUGGUAUCCUUUGAAAUCAGGAUUUUAUAUUCAAGCCUUUUCGGAUGCAGACCUUGGUGGAUGUACUCUCAACAGGAAAAGUACAAGUGGAGGAUGUCAGUUACUAGAUGGGAAGUUGGAGAGUUGGCAGUCGAAGAAACAAACUUUUGUAGCUAUUUCUACUGCUGAAGCUGAAUAUAUUUUUGUUACUGCUUGCACUUCUCAAAUCAUUUGUACUAUGAUUCACAAAGUGCUAUUCGCAUUUGUCAUAAUCCAGUACAACAUUUGAAAACAAAACACAUUGCUCUUCGUUAUCAUUUUAUAAAAGAUCAUGUGGAAGAUGGUAACAUUGAAGUUCAUUUUGUGAAAACUACUGAUCAACUUGCUGAUAUUUUCACUAAACCACUUGAUUAAAAAUAUUUUCUGAGAAUUUUUGCAGGUUUGGGAAUGUUAGAUGCGAAUUCAGUACCAGGAUCAAAUAUUCAAGAUUAACGAAAUUAUGUUGGUGAAAAAUGUGUCGAUUCAGAGGCUUGUCGUAUUAACCAUUCAGAAGUUACUGUGCAUUAAGAGGCUUAGAAACGCUUCGUUUUCGUAUAUUGUAACUAAAACUUUUCACGUGUUUGGUAACAUCAUUUCAUUUCAUUAGUUUAGCAUUUGUUCAUUGAAAAACUGAAAAAUCAAAAAUAUUUUUAUUUCUUUGCGUUAAUUUUCGAAAGUUCAAAAGCAGCAAAAAGAUUUUCUUUUGUUAUUUGUUUUCAUUUCGAAAAAUUUAAAAUCACAAAAAUAUUGUAUUUCUUUUCAAAAAUAUAAAAUCACAAAAACAUUUUUGUUACUUUGUUAUUUUUUAGGUCUUCAAGAAGAUUUUCAUGACAAUUUUCCGAACGAUCAUGCUUAUGUUUCUACGGGAAGGUAAUUUUCUUAAAUCUUUGUACUAGUUAAGGUGUCCCUAGAAGCAUGUUGCAGCAUGUCGACCCAAGCCUUAACUGACUCUAUGUGUGUUACGAAAGCCUUAAUGAAAUUUUCGUACGAAAAUUUCUUCCCAAUUAGGCUUACAUUCACAUUAGUCCAAUGAGCUACCUUACUCUUCUCAAAUGAGUUAAGAGUUUUCUAUUUGGUCCAUAUAUAACAGAGGUACAUUUGAAUCUUAACCAAUCUUUUUCAUCACAAAUUUCUUAACACAUUUCACACACGAAGACACAUGUUCAUGAGGUCAUUGAUCAAACCAAUCGUGACUUAGACAUGUCAAACAUUUGUGUUAAUGAUCUUAAUUCAUGAGACCGUGAUGCAAGUGAAACUCGAAUAUUCAAAAUUAUCAAAGAAUUGAUGGGGAACAUUGUUCCGGAUUCUUAUGAUACACUAGUUUCAGUACCCUUUUCGAAUACUCGAAAUCACAUUCUUUCGUAUGAGUGAUCUUGAUCAAAUGUUCAAAGCCCUCGACAUUUUUUUCCCAACAAGAUCCAGUUGAACUAUUUUUUCUUGGAAUGUGAUUUCCGUGUGAGUAUCAAUUCUUUUCCUUAGUCACUUUAACAAAUUUUACAAAGCCACUUGUCACUGACUACACUUGUCAAACAAGUAAUUUCGAUUACAAUUACUCACCUUAUGUUUAGGCUGAUAUGUAACAAAAUUUGUAUACCACCCAUUAAGCCUUUCAAAAGAAGCCCUUCCAUACUUCUUUAUAAGUAUUCGAUUGUAAUUCACGGGAAAAUGCACAAGAUGUUAGUUAUCUCUCUUGAUAAUUAAUGAAACAACCUUUGCUCGGGGUUUAACUGCUUUCGUGCCAAAACAUUUGACAUCACAGAUCCCAAAUUUUUUUAAAAUUGCUUCUUAUCUCUUUCCAUUGAAUCACUGCACUCAUGAAAUCCUUGAGGCUCUAAGUAAUACCAACUUAGGCUGAAGAUUUCAUAAGACUGGCAAAUGACUUUGUUUCAAAUCCCAAAAACGAAAGAGCCCAGCCUUCAUUCCAAAGGGUUUGAUCUUAUCCACAAGUACUCACGAACAGUGUAAAAGUAACUGUUUGAAAACUUGGUCCUAGUUUAAAGGAACUUUAUGUGACAUGGCUACAAUAACGGAUACUGGUGCGUAAUUCAAGGCGAGAUGUGGCAUGAUCUUAAUGAUAAACGGUUCAUCUUAUAUUGAAGUUACAUAUAAAAGGAAAUUCUUUUUCAAUUGCUCAUUACGCGUUCAAAAUUCCUGAAAAUUGAAAAAACCCUAAUUCUCUGAAAGCUUUCAAACAACUCAACAAUGGCUGAUGUUCUAAACUCCAACACUGAAGAUGUUGCUUCUCAACCGAUGAUGAAGAUUUAAAAGCACAAACUAUCAGGUUGAAUCCAAUGUUUCGUUGUAUCCAGAAGAACUCAAAAUGUUGAUCGGUGUCUUGAGGAGAUAUGUUUUGGCUACUGCGAUGUUUAACUCCUUCGCAGUUCCAAUGUCUUGGUUGUCCAUGGCUGCUUCUACUGCGACAUACAAGAAAGCCACAGAUGUGAUUACAUUCAACUUGGUGGAUGAGAAACAUAUUCGUCUCACCAAGAAGAUGUUUUCACAAUUCUUGGAGAUUCCCAAUUCACCACCAUUCUUCAAACCUACCAACCCUCAAAUCAUACAUAUGUUCAGCGAGAUGGGUCACCAGCCACCACUCGAAAAGAUAAGCGAUUUCAAAAAGUUUGGGCUUCCCUGUAUACUUCUAGUCGUAAUAUAACCCCAUUACCAUUGCAUAUACUUCUAGUCUUCCCUUGUCAAGACCCAUACUUCUAGUGGACUAUGCCACUCAGUUGUGGAAGGAGUUCACGAAAAUUUUGGAAAGUACAAGUGUGGCUAAGGGAAUUUCUUGUGCUAGAUACUGGAGUUUAAUCUUGGAGAAAGUAUAUGAAAAAGAGGCACUUCAAGUCCCUGAGGGUGAGGAUACUGCUGAAUUCACGAAGUAUCAGUUCCCAAAGGCAGUCGAAGAUGAGGAGCAUAUAUUUACAAGUGUUGCACGCAUUCCAGAUGCAAUGCUCCAAUAUAGGGAUGAGCAACGGGCAAGACCCGGACCGGACCGGUCCGAAGACCGAAAACCCAAAGACCGAAAAUCGUGAAUUACCUUACCCGAAAACCGGACCGUUUUUGUAUGUAUCGGGUCUGGGUUCGGUCCAGUCCGGUUCCGGGUAUUAAACCGGUUUCGGGUUUUGGACCGAAUUGGACCGUUUUUUUUGUAAUGGUGGAAUGCAAUGGAGAGUUGGAGGGCCGAACCCAAAAAAUAAUUGUCACAACUAUGAAAGAGCCGCACAAAGGUUUUUUUGUUUUUAGUCGUCGCUCUUAUGGACGAGCCUCACAAUUUCUAAAAACACUAAUAGUAAAUAAAUGUUCAUGGUUUUUAGGAAAAAAAAAAGCCUAAUAAAUAAUAUUAUGGUAGAUACAUUACGAAAUAUUCAAUUUGGUGAGACAUGUGGUAUUUAAUUUUAAUACGCAAUCACAUUAGAUAUAUUCUUUUUUUGUAGCAAUAAUUUAUAAUUUAAUAAAAAAUUUAUAGCAUUAACUAAUAAGUCAUUAUUAUUAUUUAUAUAUUCUAAAAUAUGUACAAAAGAAAUUAAGGUGAAAAAGUUUUUCGGUCCAGUCCGGGUUAAAUCCCGUAUUCCAGGUACGGUCCAGUCUAAACCCGAAGUCCGAAUAGUGGUAAAAACAAAACCCGAAAACCGGCCCACUAAUUUGAAUAUUCGGUCCGGUCGGGGUCCGGUCCCGGUUUUUUUCCGGUCCGGUCCGGUCCAAUGGGUCAUAUGCUCAUCCCUACUCCAAAAGGUGAACCCUACUUACAAAAUUCUUGUGAUGUACCUGAAAAAUGUAAACCCUAAUGUGGAAACUAGGGUGUCACUUGAAGUCGAAGCAGGAUCUUUGAAGCCAUCGAAGAAGACGAAGUCUGAUGGUGAUGAAGUGUCACACCCCCAAACCAGACGGCGGAAACGUCCGGGGGUGAAGGACUUCAUUUGUAGUAUCACAACACAUGCAUCAUAGUAAUCAAAGUACAAACAACCAUUGUAUUUAAAAGUAUAAUAUUUACAUGUGUUCAAUCAUUGUAUAUUGAAACCAAAACAGUUAUGCAAAGGAAGAAGAUAAGACACCUAAUGGUUCCAUCUUCUCAAAAAGCUCGGGGAGUACCUGUUAUUAUUUUCCUGAUAAUACAAGUAAUUUGAAAAGAGAGUAUCAAUAAUAAGUUGAGAGAGUACAUAAGUCUUUAUGUUUGAAUGGGUGUAUUUGUAUUUUGAAUAUGAAAACACUUCUAGAAAUCCUAUAUUUUCUGUGGUAUGUGAAAAGUAGUUUUAUUCCCAUAAAACCGUCUUAUUUGUAAACCAUUGUAUUUGUAAAACUUGUAUUUGAGAGUGUGCCUGGCUUCACCAGCUGUUAUUGAAAACUAUAGUAUAGCAUUGUACUUUGCAUUUUGUAAACUGGUACUUUGAAGAUAUACUUACGUUUAGUUGUUUAUACACUAACGUGUUGUUAAUAUCUUUUUAAUGAGUUAUUAUAACCAUACUAAGACAUGAACGCCUGAAACAAACGCCUGAUGAGCGCUUAAACUGUUGAUAACAAUUGCCACUCAUUGGCGUGUAUGCCUGACUGUAGCUAGCAGCCUGAGUGCGGGGUUGUCAAUCCCGAUAUAGAUCUACACACAACUUGUUUCGAUCCCCGGACUGGAGAUUCUGGUUAUAAUGUCAGGGCUUUACCUUGGUUGUCUAAACUGAAUCUAAACAACCUGAAUUGAAUGUCUCAUAAAAAGCAUAUAAACGUUACAUGUAUAUUAGUUAUGAAAACCCAAUCAUUCUGAGAUAAAUGAUUGACAGUAUGUUCUUGACUUAGUAUCCCGAACAUGUAUUUGAUAAGUGUAAACCCUUGAUUUGUUUUGAAUUAAAACCCUUGUUGCAUGUAAAACAAUGUAUUCAUAUGAAUUAUUGCUCUAUGUAUCAUAAAUUAUACCUAUUAUAAUUUAUAUGUACUUUAUGAAUUGGUAAAUAACUAUUUUUGCAUGUAAUCCUUUGCUCAACAUGUUACAAAGGGUGAUUAAACUGAUGAAAUAACUUUUAAUUUUAUAUACAUAUACAAUUUUAUAAAUAAGUAAAAUUUGAACGACCUUCGGACAAAUAACUGGUACUAUAAGUCCACAUCCAAACAAGGAAAAGGACCUAGAAUGAAUUAUUAGUCCUAAGCCUUUUAAAUCUUAUUUAUAUUAAAUUAUAUAUACAAAUAUGUAUAUUUGGGAAAAAUAUAAGUUUAUAAAAGAGUUCAAUAUUUGAAGUAUUUUUGAUGCUUUAAAAUCAUUUUAUCGUGAUUUGAAAUCAUUUAUUUAUAACACAAAGUUGUUGUGUUAUACUUGUAUUUCCCCCCUUAAAACAGUAGAAAUUAUGAAAAUACGGGGGUAUGAACUCACUUGGUAGGUGGUAAUUCGGACAGGGUUUCGUUUCACGAAAAGGAGUUUAUUUGUCGAGAAACCGGCUCAAAUCGGGCAGAGUUUUGACAGGAGAGAGGAUGAAUUCUCGAGAAUUUCGGGGCUUCACGGCUUACUUCGGGCUCGAGGCUUGAUACCAGGGCUUUAGGGGUUGUAUAUGAGCUUAAGGGAGUGGAAAAGGUGAAAGAGGGUGAAAUUUAGGGUGAAAAAGUGAAAAUUAUUCGGAACCCUCGCAUGCCUUAUAUAGGCCGAAGCCUCGGAUCCGAGGCUUAUGCGAGGCUAUGCGAGGCUGACAUUUUGCGAAGGGAAGCAGAUUCGAUUCGGAGGUGGUAGGCUCGGAUUGGUCUAGCCCUCGGUCCAAUGCAAAGAAGCCACGNGCCCUCGGUCCAAUGAAAAGAAGCCACGUGCGAAGGGGUGUCCGAGGAUGGUGCGAGGGGCGUGCGAGGAGUGUCUCCGGUGUGUCUCAUGCGAGGUUGUCCGGUUCUAAGUGGACCUCAGACCUGGACGAAUCAGAGGGUGACACACGAGGCUGCGGUCCAAUCAGAAGAUGCCACGUGGAGGCUCGCAUGCGAGGGUGACGUGGCAGUUACUGUUCAUGCGAAUAUUUUCGGUUUUUGUUAUUUUUCUUUAUUUUUUGCCAAAACUUGUAAAAUUCAUAACUUUUGCAUACGAACUCCGUUUUUGACGUUCUUUAUAUGCACGCGUAGCUAAAAUUAUACUCUACGACUUUCGUUUAGACUUCGUUGGCUAAAUCUGAAUUUAUUUUUAAUAUUAUUAUUUUAAACAGACCGGGACGUGCAUCCGUUAUAAAUUCAUAACUUCUUCAUACGACGUCCGUUUCUGUCUGUCUUUUUACCGUUGUACUACUAAUGACGAGACCUUCAAUUCUCGUUUAGGUUGUGUCGGCUAAAACCACUCGAUCUUUAUUUCGAGUUUUUAGUUGUACACUACUAUAACGAAACUUAGAAAAAUCAUAACUUCCUCAUACGAAGUCAGAUUUUGGCGUUCUUUUUAUGAAAGUUCUCGGUUUAACAUAAACUAAAACUUUCAUUUAGAUUGUUAAGGCUAGAAAGCCUUUUAUCAAUAAUUCAGUUUUCACACUGAACAGUGUUUUGCCGGUUUUGUCGCAGAUUUUUGAUUGGUCAUAACUUCUUUGUUAUAACUCGGAUUUUAGUGUUCUUUAUAUUUUUGGAAACCUUGUUACAAUCUCUAUCUCUUGGUUCAACCCAAUUGAGAUUAUUUAAUAAUUUAUUUUUGAGGGUCAAUUAUGUAAAUAUACAUAGUAUGCCAAAACUUCUCUUUAUUUAAUUAAAAAGAAGUACAAUUUGACCUACACUAUUACAUAAGUUUGAAAUAACGGUUUGUUACUAUCCCCCCGUUAGAGAGAAUUUUGUCCCGAAAUUUACAUUACAGAUAGACUAGGGAAAAAGAUGUGGGUAUUUUUGUUGCAUUUGAUCCUCCCGCUCCCAUGUGAAUUCAGGUCCGCGUCUUGCAUUCCAGCGAACCUUCACUAUCGGGAUGCGGUUUUGUUUGGUUUUCUUAACUUCCCUGUCUAGUAUCUCUACGGGUUCUUCCACAAAAUUGAGGCUCUCGUUUAACUCGAUUUCCUCGAGUGGUAUCACAAGAGUCUCGUCGGAAAGACACUUUUUCAAGUUCGAAACGUGGAAGGUAGGAUGAAUGUUACUUAGUUCUUGGGGUAAUCGAAGUUUGUAAGCUACAGGGCCAAUUCGGGCAAGAAUCUCGAAUGGUCCUAUAUACCUUGGGUUCAGUUUGGCACGCUUUCCAAAACGUAUCAUUCCUUUCUAGGGUGAGACCUUUAGCAAAACUCGGUCGCCAACCUGGAAUUCAAAGGAUUUUCUCCUUUUGUCUGCGUAGCUUUUCUGUCUAUCUCUGGAAGCUUUAAGUCGUUCCCGAAUUUGUACGAUCUUUUCAGUAGUUUCUCAAAUAAUUUAUGGACCAGUGAGAGCAUUGUCAGGAGUUUGACCUCUAGCUAGCUGCGUGUCACCCACUUCAGCCCAGCACAGAGGGGAUCUGCGCUUGCGGCCAUAGAGGGCUUCGAAUGGAGCAGCUUUUAUGCUAGUGUGAUAACUGUUGUUAUAAGAGAACUCAGCAAGGGGUAAAUGAAUAUCCCAUGCCUUCCCAAAGUCUAUCACGCAAGCUCGUAACAUAUCUUCUAACGUUUGAAUCGUCCUUUCACUUUGUCCAUCGGUUUGCGGAUGGUCGGAUGUGCUCAUGUCUAGCUUAGUUCCCAGAGAGUUUUGUAAAGACUGCCAAAAACGAGAGGUGAAUCUACUAUCUCGGUCUGAAAUAAUAGAUAUUGGUACACCAUGUAGUCUAACAAUCUCCUUGAGGUAUGUUCUGGUUAGCUUUUUCAUCUUGUCAGUCUCCUUGAUUGGUAAGAAGUGUGCGGGAUUUGGUUAAUCUAUCGACGAUUACCCAAAUAGUAUCAUAACUACUUGAUGUCUUGGGUAACUUGGUUAUGAAAUCCAUUGUAAUUCGCUCCCACUUCCAUUCAGGGAUUUCAGGUUGUUGUAAUAAGCCUGAAGGUUUCUGGUACUCUACCUUAAUUUUGGCGCAAGUAAGGCACUUGCCCACAAAGGUAGCGAUUUCGGCCUUCAUGUUAGGCCACCAAUAUAACUUCUUAAGGUCCAGAUACAUCUUGUCUGAACCUGGGUGGAUGGAGUAUCGGGUUUUGUGUGCUUCAUUCAUAACCACAUCUCUGUAACCACCUAACUUUGGUGUCCAGAUCCAGCUCAUGAAAUAAUAGACUCCAUCAUCCCUGACUUCGAAAUUCUUAUCCAUUCCUCUCAGAGUUUCACCUGCUACGUUUUCGGGUUUCAAGGCUUCAAGUUGAGCUUCCUUGAUCUGCGUGGACAGAUGCGAAUGGAUUUUCAUGGUCAACGACUUUACCCAGCGUCCCGAGUAUUCUUUUCUACUAAGGGCGUCAGCUACUACGUUUGCUUUACCAGGGUGAUAAAGAAUUUCACACUCGUAAUCGUUCAGUAGCUCCACCCAUCGUCGUUGUCUCAUAUUCAGCUCUUUCUGAUCGAAGAUGUGUUGGAGACUUUUAUGGUCCGUGAAUAUUGUGCAUUUCGUGCCAUAUAAGUAAUGUCUCCAGAUCUUCAGAGCAAACACCACUGCUCCUAGUUCAAGGUCAUGUGUUGUAUAGUUGACUUCAUGUGUCUUUAGCUGUCUUGAGGCGUAGGAUAUAACCUUUCCUCUUUGCAUAAGAACACAUCCAAGCCCUUGAUUAGAAGCAUCACAGUACACUACGAAAUCCUCUGUCCCUUCAGGGAGAGACAGGAUUGGUGCACUACACAAGGCUCGCUUCAGCAAUUGGAACGCUGUUUCUUGCUUUUCUCCCCAACUAAAGGUUACACCCUUUUGGGUCAGAGUAGUAAGAGGCUUAGCUAUUCGAGAGAAAUUUUGAAUGAAUCUGCGAUAAUAGCCAGCAAGACCUAAGAAUUGACGGAUUUCUGUAGGUGUUUUGGGUGCUGACCAGUUUUCAAUUGCCUUUAUUUUGGAAGGGUCGACGUGUAUUCCUUCUGAACUGACCACGUGACCUAGGAAAUCUACCUUCCUGAUCCAAAAUUCACACUUUGAAAACUUCGCAUAGAGCUUCUCCGAUCUAAGAGUUUGUAAUAUUUGACGAAGAUGUUGGCCAUGUUCCUCUUUGCUCUUUGAGUAGAUAAGGAUAUUGUCAAUGAAGACUAUAACGAAUUUGUCCAAGAAUGGACGGCACACUCUGUUCAUUAGGUCCAUGAACACUGCAGGUGCAUUCGUCAAUCCGAAUGGCAUUACUAUAAACUCGUAAUGACCAUAACAAGUUCUGAACGCGGUUUUGGGAACGUCUUCCUCCAAAAUUCGUAACUGGUGAUACCCGGAUCUUAAGUCUAUCUUCGAGAAGUAGUUCGCCCCUUGAAGUUGGUCGAACAGAUCGUCAAUGCGAGGCAGAGGGUAUCGAUUCUUAAUGGUAAGUUUAUUCAGCUCGCGGUAGUCUAUACACAUGCGGAAUGAUCCAUCCUUCUUCUUUACGAACAAAACCGGUGCUCCCCAAGGUGAGAAGCUCGGUCUUAUGAAACCUUUGCUUAGGAGUUCGUUAAGUUGGCUGGAUAAUUCCUGCAUUUCAGAAGGUGCAAGACGAUAGGGGGAUUUGGCUACAGGGGUAGCUCCAGGGAUUAAGUCGAUUCGGAAUUCGACUUGUCGUUCGGGAGGCACUCCUGGAAGAUCAUCGGGAAAUACAUCGGGAAAGUUGCAGACUUCAGGAAUGCUUGCGAUGUCUUUCACUUCUUGCUUUUUAUCUACCACAUGAGCUAGGAAUGCACAAUACUCCUUGCGAAGGUAUUUCUGUGCCUUGAUGCUUGAAAUGAUCUGAAGGUUUGUUCCGGGUUUGUCACCAUAGAUAAUAAGAGUUUCGUUAGUUGGUAAGUUCAAACGAAUAGCUCUUUCAUAGCAUAGGAUGUCGGCAUGGUUGGGGCACAACCAAUCCAUACCUAUUAUGAUGUCAAAACUUUUGAUAGAGACCGGCAUAAGGUCUAUUGGGAAAGACAAGUCAUUUAACAUAAGGGUACAUCCUAUGUAUAUAUCAUUGGUGGAUUCGGAUUUCCCGUUAGCCAUUUCUACUGUGAAGGUUUUAUUUAGUGGUUGGGAGUUCUGAUUUAGUAGAUGUUUAAAGUUAUGGCUCACGAAGCUCCUCUCGGCACCACAAUCAAAAAGAUUGCAUGCAUAAGUAUUGUUGAGAAGGAACGUACCCGUGACCACAGCAGGGUCUGCCACCGCUUCUUCAUGACCUAGUGCUAGAAUUCUCCCAACCCUACCGGCAUUUCCAGCUUUUAGACAAUCUUUCUUGAAAUGCCCCACAUCACCGCAUUGUUAGCAUGCUCGACUUACUCCAGCGGUAGGUACUUGGUUAAGGGGUUGAGGUGGUGUUCUACAGAAUAGGGCAGUAUGCCCUUUCCUGUUGCAGUUACGACACUGCAUUUCAGGGCAAUUUCCGGUGUGGUGAAAAUUGCACUUGUUGCAUUUAGGGAGGCUACCGGCAUAGGGCUUAGUUGGUGCUGAGUAGUUAGGGGCAACAGCAGGUGUAGUAGUAGGUAUGGUAGCAGGCACAGUAGUAGCAUGGACUGCCACUAUUUGUUGCUUCUUUGAAGGUUCCAGAGGAGAUUUUCCCUUCCUUUUGUUCCAACCCUUCUUCUUGCUGUUGUUGUUGUUCUCCCUAGGUUGUUCUGGGGCAGUAACCACAGAGUUUUGACGGUUUCCGUGGUCAAUAAGUGACAGUGCCAGUUCCUUGGCGCUGUCAAAGGUGACAGGUUUAGAUGCAAUGACAUUUGCUUGUAUCUGGGGCGACAAUCCCCAAAUAUACCUUUCAAUCUUUUUGCUCUCUGGAGCAACCAUAUCCGGACACAGAAUCGCCAAGUCACCGAAUUGAUUCGUGUAAGUCGUUACAUCGGCACCGACCAUAGUAAUACUCCAGAGUUCUUGUUCCAGUUUCUGAAUUUCCCCUCGCAGGCAGUAUUCACGCAUCAGCAUGGUUUUUAGGUUCUCCCAGCUUAUAGUAUUAGCCACUACCAAAGUUAGUGACUUAACAUGGCCAUUCCACCAUGUUAGGGCCCUAUCUAAGAAAGUAAACGCAGCAAAUUUAACCUUGCUACCCUCUGGACAGGAGCAGAUUUCAAAGACUGCUUCUAUCUUCUCAAUCCACUGCCUUAAAACCAUCACUCCUCCAGUUCCAUUAAAGGUCCUGGGUUUGGCAUUCGAUAAGUCUUUAUAAGUGCACUCCCUCGAUUGUUCAUGACCCUCGACAAGGUUAGAAGGACGUGGAUCAGCUCCCGACCCACUAGUGCCGCCAGCAUUGAUAUGAGAUAAGGCAGCCGCUACAGCUNCCGUGACUGCCGCUUGGAACAUGGCAGCAUCGAAUUGAGGGGGUGGUGGUGGAGGUGGUGUCGGUGCUUCCGUUUCAUUGUUACGUCUUGGAUUCCUACGAGGAGGCAUCUUUUUCUAUAAAAGUCAAUAGAUAAAAAGAUAGUGAGAUAUCAAGAAUGAAUAUGAAUUUGAUAUCUCUGAACUUAAACACUUAAUUCAACAAGAAUAUUGUAAAGAAUUGAAAAUGGAUGUCCAUUGCAAGUACAACUUGCAACUGGAUAGAUUAAAAUGAAGUGGUUAUUUUUCAAAGAGUAUGAAAGUACAUGUCGCUUGUAUUGGUAUAUUAACUAUAUGUAAUUUGGAUACUUAACCCUAAAGUAGGUCUUUAAUAGACCACAAUAUUGUAAAAGUAUCGACAUCAAACCGGCCUACCGAAAAUAAAAAAUUUUGCGGUCGUAUGUGAAAAGUAUGAAAAAUAACACUGAAACAUAUCCCAUAUCCCAAAACUUUGGAAAUGGAAUGUUUAUGUAACUUGUAAUAACUCUUGUUGAAGUAAAGUGCUUAUUAUUUUAUUGAUACUUGAUUUAUACAUCUCCUGAAAGUAGUCUAUACAUUCAGUAUAUUAAACUAGAAAGUAGUGUAACACUACUUGCGGCGGUUGCUACGACGGUUACUGGGUUCCGCUCUGUCUUGUGAUUUCCAGCGCCUUUCCUGGGCAGCUUGAUGCUCCCUCAGUCCUCUGAUCUCUGAUUCAGCAGCAUUAAGUUGCCUUUGAAGGGCUUCAGUAUGGUGUUGGGUAUCAUCUUGCAUCUCGUCAAGACGAAGGAUAUCGGCAGCGUUAGCCUGUGCAGCCGCAUUCACUUCUAGGAUACGAUUGAUUGACAUCCUUGAUUGAUCGAAUUGUCGGGCAAUUCGGUUCACUAUAACUGGAAGAGCUCUGUCGGCUGUUCCUCCUUCUGAGACGUUAUAGAAACCCCGUGCCAUUCCGUAGGGAGGGCGUUGGCCGUCUUGUCGACUCCAAUGGUUUAUGUAUUGGCCCCACUCGGGUAUGGGUAUUGCUUCCUCUUGUCUCGGGGGACGUAUCCCCGGGUUGCAGACUUGUGGCUCUGUAUCUGUACCGCUUGAUUUGCUGUCCUCAAAUGGUUCUUCAUCUGAGUCUUCUUCUGGAUCCUCCUCCGGAUCCUCCACUAUCCAUCCUUGAUUGCCAUGAUUUGGAAAAUAAGGGUCCCCUGGUAGAUGAUGUCCUGCCAUUGUGUCUGUACGAGAAUAAGGUUAUGAGAAAUGCCUGAAAAGAAAACUAAAGCAUAUCGAUGUUUAUAAUAUUCUUAUAGUAUUUUAUGUUCUGUUCUUAGAGUUUCUUCGGUAGUUGGUAAGUUUUAGACAUGUCACAACACUACUAUCACUCCCAAACACAUGUUGGUCAUAUCUGAAAUCAAUAUAGUUGAUCAGGCUAUAUUAAUUCUAGAUAUGAUUACAUAACUGCCCGGGUUUAACUGUAAUGUUCAACAUCCAAAUACUUUUAAGUUCUUAUGACUAUGUACUUGUAGGUAUGAGGGUUAGUAUACUUCUUGUAAAAAUACUUAAAAUUCUUAAAAGUAUACUUGUAGUCAGAGCUCUUAGCCCCAAUGUAUUUAUAGUUUGUAUAUCUUUUAUGGAUUGAUAUACUGAGUUCACUAUAAACAAUGCUCUGAUACCAAUCUGUCACACCCCCAAACCAGACGGCGGAAACGUCCGGGGGUGGAGGACUUCAUUUGUAGUAUCACAACACAUGCAUCAUAGUAAUCAAAGUACAAACAACCAUUGUAUUUAAAAGUAUAAUAUUUACAUGUGUUCAAUCAUUGUAUAUUGAAACCAAAAUAGUUAUACAAAAGAAGAAGAUAAGACUCCUAAUGGCUCCAUCUUCUCAAAAAGCUCGGGGAGUACCUGUUAUUAUUUCCCUGAUAAUACAAGUAAUUUGAAAAGAGAGUAUCAACAAUAAGUUGAGUGAGUACAUAAGUCUUUAUGUUUUGAAUGGGUGUAUUUGUAUUUUGAAUAUGAAAACACUUCUAGAAAAUCCCAUAUUUUCUGUGGUAUGUGAAAAGUAGUUUUAUUCCUAUAAAACCGUCUUAUUUGUAAACCAUUGUAUUUGUAAAACUUGUAUUUGAGAGUGUGCCUGGCUUCACCAGCUGUUAUUGAAAACUAUAGUAUAGCAUUGUACUUUGCAUUUUGUAAACUGGUACUUUGAAGAUAUACUUACGUUUAGUUGUUUAUACACUAACGUGUUGUUAAUAUCUUUUUAAUGAGUUAUUAUAACCAUACUAAGACAUGAACGCCUGAAACAAACGCCUGAUGAGCGCUUAAACUGUUGAUAACAAUUGCCACUCAUUGGCGUGUACGCCUGACUGUAGCUAACAGCCUGAGUGCGGGGUUUUCAAUCCCGAUAUAGAUCUACACACAACUUGUUUUGAUCCCCGGACUGGAGAUUCUGGUUAUAAUGUCAGGGCUUUACCUUGGUUGUCUAGACUGAAUCUAAACAACCUGAAUUGAAUGUCUCAUAAAAAGCAUAUAAACGUUACAUGUAUAUUAGUUAUGAAAACCCAAUCAUUCUAAAAUAAAUGAUUGACAGUAUGUUCUUGACUUAGUAUCCUGACUAGCAAUCGUAGCUCUUUAAAAUUCAUUGUCGAACUCUGACCUAGUCAAUGACGUGUCCAUUAGAUAAGGGAUCAUAUAUUCCUCCAUUAUAGAUACCAUAAGGACUGAGACAUGGAUUAUAAUCAUACUCUCUGUCCAUAUGUUGUUUCCCGAUUUCUGAUUUAUGACGACCGACUAAUUGAACAAAUCAAAUCAGUCCAGGCCCGGCCGAGCACUUACGUUUGUCAUCACUAAAUCAUCAAGGGGCCCACAUAUAUCGCUUUUAUCCCUCCAAGGGUAAAAGGAAUAGAUAAACUUCGACUCAUAUGCUUGGUCUAUUUAAUCAUCAAAUCACACACCACAAUGCAUUUUAUAACACCAAGUUACUGGUGCGUUUUCACAUUAUCAAUGUGCAACUGACUUGUAGAGUGCAACUCAUAUCUCCCCGUUUGAAGAAUAUAAGAUAUUAUCAUCUCAUAAUCACUAGUGAUAAAAUCUAGAAGUGAUACAAAUGAGUGUGGGUUUAAUCCAAUACUCGAAACUUAUUCCAGGAGCACUCAUGAACAAUGCGGCUAUGUCUAGGCCACCUAGACAAACUACAGACCCAUUCAUGACAAUCUUGCCUCAAUACCUACUUCCAAAGUAUGAUCGACUGUGGACGGUUUGAAUAACCUAGUUAUUCGUGAAGUCAAAACAUGCAAAGUGAAACACAAGAAUAAUAUUAAUCCUAUAUGGACCCAAAACUUUUGAGAGUAAAUAAAACACCUUUUAUUUAAUCACCAUAUUGAUUACUCAUUAUUCAUUGUAUAAUGUUUAGAAUAAUCAACUUAAUACUUGAACUAAAACAAUAGUUGUCUCAUGCUACAAGCAUGUACACUAUGCUUACCUACGGUCCUUUCUUUGUCGAAUAGAACAAUUGAUAACAUUUUAAUGAUGCUCAUUUCACAACUCCAAAUCCUUAUGAUAAAUGUAAGAAUACCAAAUUCUUACCAUUUACCGAAAUUUGUUAGAUUCUAAACUUAUAUGCAUUGAUUCUCUUGUAAUGACUAUGCAAAAAAGUUACAAAGACUUGGCUCCAGACAUUACAAAGUAUUCCAAUGGAGAGCAGUUCCAUGGAAACGAAGUCUCAUAUUCAAAGUACAUUCCUUUGAACAUCCUUCUUGCAUUAAGUUUUCUAAUCUUACACAGAUUUUGAAGAAUGACUUCCACUUAUGGAAACAAUUCCAUAUUCCCAUUUUGACUAUCACUUCUAAACAAGAGUUGCCUCUUUUCAGAAUAUGUCAAUAUGGCCCUUUCCAAAAUUUACGCCAUACUUCCAAGUGUCCAUGAGCAACCAAUAUUCGGUAAACCUCAUAUUGUCCUCGACAAUUGCUUAAUCAUUUUUGUCACACCCCAAAACCGAGAACGGCGGAAACGUUUCGGGCUGGAGGACGUCAGGUACAGUAUCACAACAGUGUAAAGUAGUAAACAAGCAACAACAUCAUCCAUUGCAUUAAAAGUAAAGUUUUAAUACAUGGGUGUUCUUUCAUUGUAAUAAGACACCAAAAUAUACAAUCAAAAUAAAAGACGAGUCUUGUCCGUGCUCCGUCUUCUCAAAACCUGGCCAUCGUACUUGUCUACUGGUGACCUGAGAAUACCAGUUAUUUUGAAAGCGAGUAUCAGCCUAAAGCUGGUGAAUUCAUAAGUAUUUAAGUGUCAUUGUCUUGUUUUGGGAAGCUGUUAUGAAUGCCAUGUAAAUCUUUUAUGUGAAACAGUUGAUAUAAGUAUGAAAACCCUAGAAAUCCCAUAUUUCCUACUAGUAUGAAAUGUAGUCUUCUACCAAGACCUGAAUGUUUUGCUAUAAAAAUGAUAGUUUUCCUUUCUUUUGACUAUUACUAACAAUACUUAGUCUAACUCAUCGUUUAUGUGAAUGUAUCACAAAAUAAAGUAAUAGGAAAAUGUAAACAUGUAAGUGUUAUCCUUUUGUAUUAGGAUUAACACGACAUCGCGAUUAGCGAAAUGUAUAACCUUUGAACAUCCGUAGAUUGUUCAAUUUUCCUCUAUAACUACAGCAGGUUUAAGGAAGGGUUAGUCCCGUAAAGGUACUCCUAAUAUAAGUAUUAACCGUAGGCAUCCAUAGAUGGUCAUUUACCUCUGUAGCGAACAGUAGGCCAAAGGAAUGGUUAGUCCCGUACAGGUACCCCUAAUAUAAGUAAUAACCGUAGGCAUCCGUAGAUGUUCAUCUACCACUGUUGCUAACAGGUGGGUUCUGAAAUGGUUAGUCCCGUCUAGAUAUCCCGUUGAACUGGGAUAGGCAGGACAAUUUACACAUAAUGUACUAAUAAAUCAUCCUAGUGAAUCGAGGUACAAGUAUCCAUGUAAGUGUAUACAGGUAAAUGUAUCUAUGUAAAGGUAUUCAUGUAAGCGUAUUCAUGUAACAUGUAAUGUAUAGUAUAGACUCAUGAAUGAACUGACUCUGAUGUAAUUCCUUGUAAUAGGAAUAAUGUUUUGUAUCUUCUAACUAUCCCUAUAAUAGUUAACUGGAAGGUAAUUGGUUGUUCAAGCAGGUUUAUACACCCUUGCUACACAAGAGUGUGGGAAACUGAAUGAAGGAUGAAAACUAUAACAUCAAUACAUAUAUAAGAACAUAAGUGUAUAGAUAUAGUUUUGUUCAAGAAGGUAAAAAUGGUUUUGUAAGACAUCUAAGAGUUUUGAACAAUAAUUAACAAUGACUUGAUGUCAUUUUAAUAAACAUUUCAAAACAAAUACAUUUGUUACCAAGGUAUUUUAAGAUAGAAAACCAUUUCAUGCAUCACAUUUUGAAGUAUGUGAAAUCUGCUGGAUGAAAACACAGUUAUAAAAUACAUAUGAGUGAUUUAAUAACAUACUGUUUUCUACUUGUAUUCCCCCCAUCCAAGCAUUUAAAAUCAUUUAAAACAUUGAUUAAGGGGUAUGAACUCACCUGUAGAUGGUGGUUUNCCCCCCCCCAUUAAAGCAUUUAAAAUCAUUUAAAACAUUGAUUAAGGGGUAUGAACUCACCUGUAGCAAGUGGAUCGGAAGGAAGUGUCGGAUAAGUACUUGGUUUCAAGUGAAGACUUAGACACGCACAAUGAUCCUAAUAAAAUAUAAGGAUAUAUGUAUGUAAACAAUUUGUCUUUAAAUAACUAAUAAACAAAGUCAAGACACUCUAAGGCAUGACAAACACUUUGUAUAAGUGUUAUAAGUGUUCAGGAGUGCAUCUAAGUGUUAUAGGGAAAGGCUAGUGUGUUUGGGGUUCAAGGAACACUCCUAAAAUGAGUUUACUCCCUAAAGACCAACAACCCUUGAGUUUACAGUCGUAAACUCCUAACCUUUUGACCAUUUGUUGUUUUGAAGUCUUUUAAGCUAUUCCAUGCAUUCCUACUUCAUGUUUAAGCCUUAGGAAGUGUUGUGUGGCAACAAAACACUCCUAAAUGGAGUUUACGGUCUAAGGACCAUUUAUCCAUGAGUUUACUCCUAUAAAAUCUCAUGGACUAAGGUAUUUUGAUGUUUUCAAGUCCUAAACACUUCAAGGUAAUAGUCUAGGUUAGAUUCUAGGCAUAAGGAGUAAAUAUGGGACAUUUAAACACCUUUACGGGUGUUUACGGUUUUAGGAGAUCCCCAAACUGUAAACACAUAUGAGUAAGGGGUUUUGGUGGUUUUCAUGUGCUAAACAACUCAGGGAAGGAUUCUAAGUUAAUACCCAAGGCUUAGGAUGAGAUAAAGCACACUUUGGCACCCUUUAGCACACUUUAGCACCUUUCUUUGGGGUUCACGGUCCAAGAACUUCUUGGACCGUAAACUCCAUGAUCUUGGUGUAUUUGGGACAUUUUCUUGAUGCAUGAUAAGUUAAUAAGCUGAUCAAUACACUAGGGUUGGAGUACUUACUAGUUAGAAGCUUGAAACGGUGCUAAGGGCCUAAGAACACUAGUGUGUGUUCUUGGUGUUUUGGAAAACUAGUCAAAACACAUAAAUGGAUGGAUUAAAGGAUGUACAAUCACUAGAUUAAGUGAUACACUAACUUGAAAGGGCUAGGAACACUUACUAGAUUGAAGAUAUUGAACAAAACUAGGAUGAUACCUGAGAGGGUUUUUGAGUUUACUCUUUUGGUAAUUGGGGAGUAAACAUAAAUGACUAGUUUGGGGAGUAAGCUCAUGCUUAUGCAUGAGUUCACGGUUUUUGGAUGAUUUUCUGACCCAAACAUAAAAGUUUGGCCGUGAACUUCUAAGACACGAGGUGUUUGCGGUUUAGAAAUUUCGAGACCCGAGACGGCCCAUCCGUUCACCCGUUCGAUUAAAGAUUAAUUAUUAAAAUAAUCAAAUGAACUUAUUUUUGCUAAAAAUAAGUAAUAAUUUAAUUGACCUAUAAAUCAAAGUGAUUGACUUUUAGCGUUUGACCAAAUGAAAAUUUCGAUUUUUCACAAUUUUAGUCAUAUCCAGUUCUAGUCCUUUUCCCUCUUAAUGCCCUAGGCAUUUGGAAAAUUUAGAACAAAUGAAUAUUAUAGCACAUAUAAUCAAUCCUAUAUCCGAAGCAUAUGGGACUCGAUUCAUGAUGUCUCGCAUGAAGACAUGAUACUAGACCAGUCUUUUGCUAUAAUAUUUCUAUUUCUAUUUGCCAUGUUCUUAUAAUUCGAAUUAUGAAAAGGGAUGUCGUAAUCAUAACCGAAUUUUAGAACGAAAAUAAUAUUUCCAUAUAUAGAAUUUCCUUACGUUGAUCCUUUCCAACAUAACAUUCAUAUAUAUAAACUUGACUAAAUUUGAUUAAAAUCUCAAUCUAAGCUUGUAGAAUUGAAAUUAAGUAUGAAUUCCUCUCCCUUAAUUAUAGCAAAACAACUUUUCAACCCCUGCAACUUUGCGAAUUGAAACUUUUGUUUUCUAUAAUUAACAUUGCUAACUUGCAACAGUUAACAUAAUUCAUUAUGCUCCCACUAGCAUAAUAAUUAUUUCCAUACUUGCAUAACACUUAUGUUCCUACUAGCUUUGACGUGUACUCAGAAAUCAGAUGGACUUCUAGAAAUCAAUACUUUAUUGACUUUCUUACCAAAGUCCAUAUUUCUAAUGCGAGAGGAUUCGAUAAGACUUUAUCAAAAUCAUACACCUUUCCUUAGACAGCUCACAUGUGUAUCUAAACAAUUAUGAAGAGGGAUGUUGCAAUCAUAAUGUUUAGACCAUUUUUCCAUUUCUCACAAUUCGAACUAUGAAGAGGGAUACCAUAAUCAUAAACGAAUUUGAAAAUGAAAAUAUCACAAUUGAUAACUAUUUAAAAUCUACUUGGUGAAAGAGUUUCAUCACCAUCAUUUUUCAUGAAUCGGAGAGAAACCUUAUGACACUUAGAUUUUAUGGUGUAUGUGUUCCUAUCCAUGUGAAUUUGUCAUAACCUUAAUCAUAAGACAAGGUUAAUAACAAAUCGAAGCUCAUAUGGACUGAACUUGAUCAAUAUUAAUUUCUUGCCACUUGGCAGCUCAAGGGACUACCAUUGCUUCCAAGUAGUUAUGCAAACAACUGAGAACUCACAGAAUCCACAUGCAUAGCCAACUUUAACUGGAAUGUGCACAGAAACAAAAAUAUGUCAACACGAUAGGUUACAAACCUCAAGUCGUGUGCUAGUGCUUAACAAUAGGUUUACUCUUGAUUAGUUCUUGAAGCUUUCAAGAUCUUUAAGACUCCCACUCACUUCUUGAAAUAUAAGAUUAUCUAUGUCAAGAACCAUAUCUUGACAAAAAGAUAUUCACGAGUUAGUGCGGAUUCUUAUUAAGAAAACACUUCACACUAUUGGCGUUAGUUGGUCUUUGUUUUAUCCAAAAUAUCACAACUUACCAAUUUCAAAUGUACAAGAGUAGAAAGCAUUUUACCCUACAUUUGACAAGUGUUAUAAAACUUUCGUAAGAUUAUGUCACUCAAGGUUACAAUCUUGGAGUAUGACUCUAAGACUUGUUUUGGGAAUGAAGUAUGAUUUAUCUUUUGAUUUAACCAUUUCAACAAUUCACGAUUCCUCUUCUUAGUCAAAAAAAUUCACUAAGAUGUCCUUAGAGGAUCAAUUGUGAUAUGGUUUCUUAAUCACUAAGAUAAUCAUAAAACAUGAUACUACAAGUACUCUCCCAUCUUUUCAGAUUGGAGAAACUUUUAUCUUUCUGCCUAAUUUGAUUCUUCUCAUUCGUCCUGCCAUACAUUGAAGCUUUUCCAAUGUUUUAGAAUUAUACUUAAACUUGUAAGUACAACCAUAUUUACUAAACUUUAGUAAAUCAUGACGAAUAGCCUUAUCGUUCUUUAUGGUUGACCUAAUCAGCACACAACCAAGUGUACCUGAUCUCCUAGUCCUUCACUUGACUCACAUAUACAUGUGAACAAGGAAUUAGUCUUGAUUUACCAAAGAUGAAAAUUCUCAUUCAUCAUACAACACAAGUUUCAUGAUUCCAAGUUUUUAUCCAACUAAAACUUGGGUGAUGAGAAUCUUUCCUUAUUUGGUAAAUUAUGACACUACCACAAACGAAAGAAUCAAAUCCAAUUUCCAAUAUCGCUAUCAAUGGAAUCAUAUAGACAACAAUUUUCACAAAUCUCAUUGUAAGGAUAAUUAAAAUAAAUAAAAUCAAAAUUUUCCUUUUAUUUUAAAAUUGCGGAAAAACUUAUUCUUACAAUGCAAAUUCAUAUGAAAACUAUGUUGUUAUCUAUUCCUAAGCAAUCUAUCAUAAUCAUAGUAGCAGCUCAAAAUUCUGAUCUUCAAAUCAUACGAUCUAAAUCUAUCUUCGCGAUCAGAUUCAGCGUACUCUUGUUUUAAGCUUCCUCUCCUUUUUCGAUUCUACAAAACAUCAAAAUGUGACCCAGUCACAUCAUGUAAUAAGAAUCUCAAAAUAGGAACUUAAUAGAGUUAGAUAGUGGACUUUACUUGAAGCGUAGUCAAAUUUUGACUUUUACCAUCCAAGUGAACUUUCAGGUAAAUAGGGAAGCUUCGUAACCAAUGCCCAUUCUUUUGGCAAUAGAAACAUAUGGACUCUUUAGGAAUGGUACACGAGACUAUCUCAAACUUAGCCGUUCUCUUUACAAUUUGGUCAACUGGGUUAACUAUGGUCGAUCCCUUUCCACUAGGAAAAGAAGACAUUUCUGGACUUCCAAUGUUUCCAUUGUCAAUAUUCCUGUAAGUUUGGGAAGUAGAUCUUCCAAUCAAAUUUGCUUUUCCAGUGCUCCAAAGCAUUGCUAAUUCAGCAACAACAAGAAAAUAGGUAAGAUCAAUAAGGGUCGUUUCGUGAUCUGUCAUCAGGAAGUGACUAAAGAACCCAAUCAACAAGCAACUUCUUCGAGACUUCAACACCCAACUCUCCCAGCUUGUCAAUAUGUGACUUCAUCUCCAAUAUGUGAGCACAUAUUGGCAUUGCUUUCCAAUAGGGAUUGAGUGACCUUGAACUUUUUAAGAACUUGUGGUUUAGGUAGAAUAAUUGGAGGAGGUAGAGGAAGUAAAGUAUGAUUUCAAGUCCCAUUAAUGCACAACAAAGGGAUUAAUCUUUCACCUUGAUUGCCAUUUGUGAUAUCAUCUUUAUUAAGAAAGCUUUAUCUAAAAGGGUAAGGAAGACCAUAAUUGUCAUAACUAGACAUAUAUGAGGGAGAAAUUCAAGUUUAGUUGAUUUAAGUCCUUAAUAUAACACCCAAUAUGAAAUAUUAAGGCUAGGACCCAACACAACAUUUUAUAACUUGGAAGAGGGAUGCCGUAAUCCAAGAUACAAAAUAUUUGAAGGUAGGUAAAUGACGAUUUACCAAUUUCCACCAUGAAAAACGAAAUUUAACAUUAGGUUUUAAAUGAAUUGAAACUCCUAGACCUUUUGAGAUUCAUUGAACUAUUUAAUGGCAUUUUUAAAUACUAGUUGUGCCCUUCAAGUUUGUGACUGGGAUGCCGAAGAUCACAAAGAAGGAGCGAAUAACCAUGCAAAUUAACUUGGUACACUUAAUGUUACAACCACCUAAUCAAUGUGCCGGUUAACAACAUACACUCCAUUGAUCUAUGAUUAACAUCAAUUUACCCUUUGCCACACAUUAUCAGUCCCAGAUUAGUGUGCCGGUUAACCACACACGCUCCACUAACGACUUAACAAGGUGAAAAGUGCAAUUCCAUGGGUUAGCACCAUAUUCACAUUUUCCUAAGUAACCAAGAUUGGGAAUUUAUAAGUGUUUAGUUACUUAGUAUUUCAUUAUACUUUUAAUGAGGGAAGAAUUAAAGUCUUGUCCUACCCAUUCGGCUAACGGCCCUCCACCAGUCAAGGAAGCGGUGGGUGAGAGUGGACACACAUUAAACUGCCAUUUUAUAGGCAGUAACCUUAUACCCCCUUAUAGACCGACUUCGUGAAUGAGGCCUACUAACGGUAAGACUGACUUUGUUCUUAUACAUAUAUAUAUAUAUAUAUAUAUAUAUAACUAUUAAACCUAUAAUAUUAUAAUAGUAUCAGGUUGAAUUUUAUACUUUUAAAAUUCUAGGGGUUGGAAUUAAAUUAUACAUGGGGAGGGUAACUUUACAAAUUCCAAAACUUGAGGGAGAGUUUUGAAUAAUUCAAAAACUUUUGGUUUUUAUAACUUAUUAGUUUAAAGUAGUUUAAUGAAAAACUCUUCAAGUUCCAUAACUUGAGGACAAGUUAUAGAAGACUUUAAAAUCAAUUAAUAAAAUAAGACUCUUCAUUUUCAUAACUUACAGAAAUUUUAUGAGUUUUAAAAUUCAUAAAUGAGACUUUUCAUAUAACUUGAGGACAAGUUACAAAACUCAUAUUAUAAACAACUUUUAGAUCAAUUUGGAUCGAAAACAAUUAUCACAUAAUUUUUUUAUUAAUCUAAACUAACUCAUAAGAACAAGAUAAUUCAUACCAUCAAUCUUCAAGAAAUUAGCAUAUUCAUAUAAACUAAUACAAAACUUUAAAUUAUGACAAUUAUCUAAUAAUUGGAAGAGAAACAACAUUAUCAUAACAACAAAAUCAAAUUUUAUAAACAAAAACAUUUUGUGGUAAUGAUUCUAAUCCAAAACAGACCAAAAAGUCAAAAAUUAUGCCGUCUGGACAGCAAACUCGUUGAGUUGCUUACCGCACUCGACGAGUUCAAGGCCAUCUUCAACCUACUCGGCGAGUCACCCAAUGGACUCGGCGAGUUCACUGGGGCGAAGGCAAAAUUUUUGAUUUUCUUGCUUUGAAAACUUAUAAAACAUCAAGUAUAAUAGAAAACAACCCAUGGCUCUGAUACCACUGUUGGUUAUUAGUAUACUACAACAUCCUAUGGUGCACAUACACCCCUAAAUACCUUGGAUCUAUGUUUUUACAAAUUAUACAUACAAAUGGUUUCCAAGGCAUUAAACCUAUAACUAGCAUGCAUUCUCAUAUACCAAAUAAGAUGCUAAUGAAAGUAACAUACCUUUUGUGUUGUAGCUUGAUUCCAUGGAGCUUAAGAGCCGAGUGCCUCAAGUGUGACACCUCAAAUGGUUCACACAACACCAACAACAACUUAGAGUAACUUCAGAGAAAAGUCCUUAUGCUCAAAUCGGUUAGCCCUCUCAUAUGAAACCCUUAGGUCCGAUUUCUUGAGCCAUGGGGUCCUUAUAUAUUGUUGCUAUUAGGGUUACACUACGUAACUCAUGUCUUUCCAUAUUCUUCAUGCUCCAUGGGUUAAAACCUCCAUGGAGUAUCCAUGGGUUUAGCCCAACAUGAAGAACUAUGGAUCAUAAGCCCACAUAUAUAAGAAUGAAUGAUUUACACAAUCAAUCCCCAUAUAUUUAAUUGGUCUCCUUUUGAUCACAAAAUUAAAUCCAAAUUAAUUCUUGAUCAAUACUAAUUAAAUAAUAUGAUUUCAUAUUAAUAUAUUGGAACUUAUAAUACAUUAACAAAUCAUAAAUAUCCUUUUCUCACAAAUUCUAUCCAAAUUGUUCUGAUGCCAUGCAACCCAAAUGGACCAUGCCAAAUCGGGUCAAGUACAUACUAAUUAUAGUUAUGGACUUAGAAACUAAUACAACAGUCUCCCACUUGGAUAAGUUUAAAACUAUUAUUGCGUAUGACUCUAAAACCCGACUAGCAAUUGUAGCUCUUAAAGCCGUUGUUGAACUCUGAACAAAUCAAUGACGCGUCCAUUAGAUAAGGGAUCAUAUAUUGCUCCAUUCUAGAUAUCAUAUGGACUGAGAGAUGGAUUAUAAUCAUUCUCUCUGUCCAUUUGUUGUUUCUCGAUUUCCGAUUUAUGACGACUGACUAGUUGAACAAAUCAAAUUAGUCUAGGCUUGGCCAAGCACUUAGGGGUGUCAUCACUAAAUCAUCGAGGGCCCCACAUAUAUCGCUUUUAUCCCACCAAGGGUAAAAGGAAUUGAUAAACAUCGACUUAUAUGCUUGUUCUACCACUUGCUGAAUCAUACACAAAGGCAUGUUUUAUAACAUCGAGUUACCAAUGCGUUUUCGUGCAAUCAAUGUAUAACCAACUCAGAGUCAACAACUCAUAUCUCUAGGUUUGAAGAAUAUAAGAUAUUAUCGUCUCAUGAUCACUCGUGAUAAAAUCCAUGAAGUGAUUCAAAUGAGCGUAAGUUGAAUCCAAAUGCUCAGAACUUAUGAGCACUCAUGAGUGUUGUAGCAACUCUUUUUAUGUCCAACAUCUUAGACAUCUACAAGCCAAGUUCAUGACAGUCUUGAUUCAUAUGUACUUCCAACAUAUGACCGGCUGUGGAUGGUUUGAAUAACUUAGUCAUUUGGGAAAAAUGACCUAGUUGUUCUGGAAGUCAAAACAUGCAAAGUGAAACACAAAAAUAAUCGAAUCCAAUAUGGUCUCAAAACUUAUGAAUAUAAAUAGAACACCUUUUAUUUAUCACUGUAUUGAUUACACAUUAUUCAUUGUAUAAUGUUUCAACUAAUCAACUUUAUACUUGAAUCAAAACACUAGUCAUGCCAUGCUCUAAGCAUGCACACUAUGUUUAUCCAAACAAUAGUCAUGCCAUACACCAAGUAUACACACUAUUGUUGUCCAAAAAUUAGUUAUGCCGUACACCAAGUAUGCACACUAAGUUUUUCUAUGGUCUUUACUUUGUGAAAUAGAUCGAUUGAACAUAAUUCCAAUGAUUCUCAUUUCACAAUCCCAAAUCCGUAUCGUAAAUGUAAGAAUUCCAAAUUCCUACCAUUUGACAAAAUUUGUUAGAUUUUAAACAUAUAUACACUGAUCCUCUUGUAAUGAUUAUGCACAAAGUCACAAAGACUUGUCAACAAUCAUUACAGAGUAUUCCAAUGCAUAUCAACUCCAUGGAAACGAAGUCUCAAAUUCAAAGUACAAUGCUUUGAACAUCCUUCUUGCAUUAAGUUUCCUAAUCUUACAUAGAUUGAAUAACUUCCACCUAUGGAGACAUUUCCAUAUUCACAUUUUGACUAUCACUUCUUAUAAGAGUUGCCUCCUUUCAGAAUAUGUCAAUAUGGUCCUUCCAAAUUAACACUAUACUUCCAACUAUCCAUGAGUAACCAAUCUUUGGUAAACCUUAGAUUGUCCUCGACAAUUGCUUAAUCACUUUUGUCAUAUCCAGUUCUUGUACUUUUUCCCUCUUAAUGCCAUAGGCAUUUGGAAGAAUUUAGAACAGAUGAAUAUUAUAGCACAUGUAAUCGAUCCUAUAUCCGAAGCAUAUGGGACACGAUUCAUGAUGUCUCACAUAAAGACAUGAUACUAGACCAGUCUUUUGCUAUAAUAUUUCUAUUUCUAUUUUCCAUGUUCUCAUAAUUUAGAUUAUGAAAAUAGAUGUUGUAAUCAUAAUCGAAUUUUAGAACGCAAAUAAUAUUCCCAUAUAUAGAAUUUCCUUCUGUUGAACCAUUCCAACAUAACAUUCAUAUAUAUAUAUAUAUAUAUAUAUAUAUAUANNNNNNNNNNNNNNNNNNNNNNNNAUAUAUAGAAUUUCCUUAUGUUGAACCAUUCCAACAUAACAUUCAUAUAUAUACUUGACUAAGUUUGAUUAAAAUCUCACGAUCUAUGCUUUUAGAUUUUAAAUGAAGUAUAAUUUCCUCUCCCUUAAUUACAGCAAAACAACUUUUCCCAAUUGAAACUUUUGUUUUCUAUAAUUAACAUUGCUAACUUUCAAUACUUAUCAUAAUUAUCAUGCUCCCACUAACAUGAUAAUUAUCAGCAUAACACUUAUGCUCCCACUAUCUUUGACAUGUACUCAGAAAUCAGCUGGACUUCUAGAAAUCAAUACUUUAUUGACUUUCUUACCAAAGUUCAGACUUCUGAUACGAGAUGCUUUGAUAAAACUUUAUCAAAAUCAUACACCUUUCCUUAAAUAGCACACGUGUGUGUAUAAACAAUUUCUGAACUAUGAAAAGGGAUUCCGUAAUCAUAGUCUCAAUUGUUUAGACCUUUUCCAUUCCUCACAAGUCCAUGUUAGUAUGCGGGUUAACCACACAUGCUCCACUAACGACUUUGAGAAUGAAAAUAUUACAAUUGCAAUCUACUUAAAACCACUUAGUGAAAGCGUUUCCUCACCAUCAUUUUCAUGAAUCGGAGAGAAACCUUAUGACACUUAGAUUUUAUGGUGUAUGUGUUCCUAUCCAUGUGAAUUUGUGAAAACCAUAAUCACAAGACACAAUUAAUGACAAAUCCAAACUCAUAUGGACUGAACUUGUGCAGUCUUAACUUCUUGCCACCUGGCAGCACAAGGGCCUGCCAUUGCUUCCAAGUUGUUAUGCAACCAAUUGAGAACUCUCAGAACUCAUAUGUAAAGCCAACUUUAACUGAAAUGGGCACAAAAAUAGGAAUAUGUCAACACGAUAGGUUAUAAACCUCAAGUUGUGAGCUAGUGAGAAACUACAGGUUUUAUUCUUGAUUAGAUCUUGAAAUUCUUUCAGGGUCUUUCAGACUCCCACUGUCCUCUUAACAUAUAAGACUCUCUUGCCAAGACUCAUUCCUUGAAAAACAAAUAUUCAAUAGAUAGUGCGGAUUCUUAUCAAGACAAACACUUCACAAAAUUGGCCUAAGUUGGUCUAUGUUUUAUCCAAAACAUCACAACUUACCAAUUUCAAAUGUACAAGAGUAGGACACAUUUUACUCUUACAUUUGACAAGUGUUAAUAAACCUUCUUUAAGAUGUGUCACUCAAAUUACAAUCUUGGAGUAUGACUCUAAGACUUGUUUUGGAACGAAGUAUGACUCGUCUUCUUGAUUUAACCAUUUCAACAAUUCACGAUUCCUCUUCUUAUCCAUAGGAAUGCAUUAAGAUGUCCUUAGAGGACCAAUUGUGAUAUGGUUUCUUAAUCAUUAAGAUGAUCACAAAACAUGAUACUAAAGUACUCUUCCAUGUUUUAUGAUUUGAGAAACUUUUAUCUUUCCGCCUCAUUUGAUUAUUCCCAUUCAUUCAGCCAUACAUCGAAACUUUUCCAAUGUUUCAGAAUUAUAGUUAAACUUUUAAGUGUAACCAUAUUUACUAAACUUUAGUAAAUCAUGACGAAUAGUCUUAUCGAUCUUUGUAAUGGAUUUGACUAGUGCACAAGAAUGUGUACUCGAUCCCUUAGUCCUUCACUUUACCCACAUAUAAAUGUAAAAUGCGGAAAAAACUUUUUCCUUACAAUGAAACUUUCAAUGAAAACUAUGCUAUUACAUAUUUUCUAGAAAUCUAUCAUAACUCCUAAGUAGUAGCUCAAGAAUCCGAUCUUCGAACCAUGUGAUUGAAAUCCAUCUUCGCGAUCAAAUUCAGCAUACUCUUCCUUUAAGUUUCCUUCCCUUUGCUUGAUCCUACCAUACAUCAAAAUGUAUUAAGAAUCUCCAAAUAGGAACUUAAUAGAGUUAGAUAGUGGACUUACCUAAAGCAGAGUCAAACUUUUUGACUUGACCUUCUCUUAGAUCUUUCAGGUAGUUAGGGAAACAUCGCAACCAAUGCCCCUUCUUUUGGCAAUAGAAACAUAUGGACCCUUUGGGAAUGGUACACAGGACUAUCUCAGACUUAGCCUUUCUCUUUACUAUUUGGUCAACCGAGUUGACUAUGGCCGAUCCCUUUCCAUUGGGAAGAGAAAGCUUUUCUGGAUAUCGAAUGUUACCAUUGUCAAUGACCAUGGUAGUUUGGGAAGUUGAUCUUCUAAUCAAGUUUGGUUUACCGGUGCUCCAAAUCAUUGUUAAUUUAGCAACACCAAGCAAAUAAAUAAGAUCAUUAAGGGUCAUGUCAUAGUAUGUUACAUAGUAGUCCUUAAAUAACUCACUAUGUGAGUUAGGAAGUGAUUGAAGAAGCUAGUCAACAUCCAACUUCCUCAAGACUUUGACACCCAACUCUCCCGGCUUGUCAAUAUGUGACUUCAUCUUCAAGAUAUGAGCACACAUAGACCUUGCUUGCCAAUAGGGCUUGAGUGACCUUGAACUUGGGGUUAACGAGAAUAAUUGGAGGAGGUGGAGGAAGAGAAGUAUGAUUUCCAUGAGAUUUGGGAAGAUCAUAGUUGUCUGAACCAGACAUCUACAAUGGGAGAAAAUCAAGUUAGUUGAUUUAAGUCCUUAAUAUAACACCCAAUAUGAAAUAUUAAGGCUAGGACCCAACACAAUAUUUUAUAACAUGGAAGUGGGAUGCCGUAAUCCAAGCUAUAAAAUAUUUGAAGGCAGGCAAAUGACGAUUCACCAAUUUCCACCAUGAAAAACGAAAUAAUUUAUUAGGUUUUAAUUGGAUUUGAAAAUUCUAGAUCUUUUGAGAUACAUUGAACUUUUCAAUGGCAUGUUUCAAUAUCGACUGUACGCUCUCAAGUUUUGUGAUUGGGAUGUCGAGGAUCGCAAAACAAGGUGUGAAUAACCAUGCAAAUAUACUUGGUACCCUUAAUAUUUAUCACUUAAUCGAUGUGUCGGUUAACCACACGCGAUCCACCGAUCCUAUGAUAAACAUUAAGUUACCCUUUGCCUAACUUGUUAAAUCCAGGUUAGUGUGCCGGUUAACCACACACGCUCCACUAACGAUUUAACCAAAGUGCAAAGUGUAAUUUCAUGGGUUAGCACCAAAUUCACAUUUUCCUAAAGUAACUAAGAUUGGGAAUUUAUAAAAGGUUUAGUUACUUUAUAUUUAUCAUUAUACUUAUAAUGAAGUGAGAAUUAUAGUCCUUGUCCUACCCGAUUGGCUAACGACCCUCCACCAGUCAAGGAAGCGGUAGGUGAGAGUGGACACCCAUUAAACUGUCAUUUUAUAGGCACUAACCUUAUACCCCCCCUUAUAGACCGGCUUCGUGAAUGAGGCCUACUAACGGUAAGACUGACUUUGUUUAUNAACAUAUAAUACUAUAAAGUAUAAGGGUUGAAUUUUAACUUUUAAAAUUCUAAGGGUUUAACUUGGAAUUAAAGUAUUCAUGAGGGGAAACUUUACAAAUUCAAAAACUUGAGGGCAAGUUUUGAACUAUUCAAAAACUUUUGGAUUUUCAUAACUUAGGAGUUUAAUUAAGGUUCUAAAAACUUUAGUGAAGAGACUCUUGAACAUCCAUAACCUGAGGACAAGUUAUGGAGUUCAUAAAACAAAAAGACUCUUUAAUUGUGUAACCUAUGCAUUUUAAUGAAUCUUUAAAAGAAAUGACUUUUGGUAAUCCAUAACUUGAGCAAAAAUUAUGGAGUCCAUUAAAAUACAUUUAGAUCAAGAAUUAACUAACAACCAAUUUGCAAAUAAUUCCUAUAAUCUACCAAAACUCUUAAGUGUAUGAACAAUCAUAUAAAAAAUUUCAAGAAUUACAUAAACACACAUAAAACUUGAAAUUUUGAUAACCUUGAAAUUGGUUUACCAUAACCAUUACCACAUCAAAAAUAGGUUUUAUAAGUCCAAAAUAGUUUAAGGUAAUGAUUAUAGACCCAUUCCAUCCUUAAAAGUCGAAAAUAUGUUGUCAGGGACUCCUACUCGUCGAGUGUAGGAACCUACUCAGCGAGUCCAUUAGUGGACUCGGCGAGUCCAUCAAGGGACUCAGCGAGUCCAGUGCCCAGAAAGCCAGAAUUUUUGAUUUUUAAGUUAUUUCAGCAAGUAUAACUUGAAAACAAGCCUUGGCUCUGAUACCACUGAACGGUUUUAGUAUACUACAACAUCAUAUGGUGCACAUACAACCCUAAAUACCUUGGAUCUAUGUUUUCACUAAUUAUACAUGCAAAUGGUUUCCAAGGCAUUAAACCUAUAACUAGCAUGCAUUCUCAUAUACUAAAUAAGAUACUAAUUAGAGUAACAUACCUUUUGUGUUGUAGCUUGGUUCCAUGGAGCUUAAGAGCCGAGUGCCUCAAGUGUGAUACCUCAAAUGGUUCACAUAACACCAACAAUAACUUGGAUUAACUUGAGAGAAAAUUCCUUAUGCUCAAAUCACUUAGCCCUCGCAUAUGAAAACCUUAGGUCCGAUUUCUUGAGCCAUGGGGUCCUUAUAUAUUGUGGCUAUUAGGGUUACACUAUGUAACUCAUGUCUUUCCAUAUUUUUCAUGCUCCAUGGUUUAAAACCUCUAUGGAUUAUCCAUGGGUUACUCCAUGGGUUUAGCCCAACAUAAACAACUAUGGAUCAUAAGCCCACAUAUAUAAGAAUGAAUGAUUUACACAAAGAAUCCCCAUAUAUUUAAUUAGUCUCCUUUUGAUGACCAAAUUAAUUAUUGAUCAAUACUAUUUAAAUAAGAUGAUUUCGUAUUAAUAUAUUAGAACUUAUAAUAUAUUAACAAAUCAUAAAUAUCCUUUUCUCACAAAGUCUAUCCAAAUUGUUCCGAUGCCAUGCAACCCAAAUGGACCAUGCCAAAUCGGGUCAAGUACAUACCAAUUAUAGUUAUGGACUUAGACACUAAUGCAACAGUGGAGACAAGGGGCACAUGUCCAAAGUUUGCCCGAAGAAAAAUGAAGCAGCAAGGACAAAUACACCGCUAGCGCUGAAAUCAAGAGUAUUCCAGAUGAUCCUUGACGAAGCAUGUGACAAUACGAGGAAUUAUGAAUGAGGACUUUAUAUCCGAAGAUCAAGAUAUAAAGUAGCCAUGCGGAUAGUAUCAUGUGGUGCAGCCUAUUAGAGGCAUAGUAUAGGUUGAACUUGAACAUCUAUGUAAAUGUUUCAAGAAAUAAUAUAAAGCUUGGUAAUGUUAUCCAAUGUGUUAAAUGGCUAUGUGAAAUUCUUGUAUGGUGACUUUGUGAACUGCGAGACAAUACUUGGGACGAGUAUGAGUAGGUGUGAAUGGUAGUAGAGGCCUAUACUACCAGAAGCACAUGACUCACACUUGGAUCAGGGAAAGUCACAAGGUUAACAAGGCACUGAUAAUUGAUUCCGUUUUUUUCAUGUAUGUUGUUACCAUCAUUUCGGUAAUGACUAAGAAGAUGAUGAUUAUCAUUCCGACCCUAGAGGUCAUAUUGAUGUGUGUAAAACCAACUAGUUUUAAUCCUACUAACUUAAACACAAAGACGAACACACGAAGGGCAGUGUACCUAUCGAUUAGUAGUUUAGUUCAAGGAAGUAGGGUAUCGAACACAGGGAACAGUAAAAAAUUUAAAGAAAUGCUAAUAUUAUCUAAAUCAAACAAGUAAUAGAAAGGGGGUUUCUCUAGUUUUGCAAGACUAGAAAGUUAAACAAUUAAUUAAAACUUAAACUAAGAAACUAAGAGCUAAGCAAAUAAAAAUCAACUAAAUUCAAUAAUAAAAAAGGUCUUUUGUUUAGGUUCGACUCAUUUGUUCCCAUGGAUGAUUUCAAUGUAUCAGAUUAAUUCUUCAUUGGCUACCAACUAAGAUGAUUAGUUUCAUGUUCGCUAUUACUAAUCCUUAGGAAACAAAUUAACUCAAGCAAUGGCCAGUUGUCUAAAUUAACGGAUUUCCUAGUUAUUGAUUCGGGUUAAAUAAGACUUGUAAUGGUUAAUUAAAUUGGCCCUUCACUUAACCUCUUGUUGAUGUUCAUCAAACAAGCUCACACAUUAACUUACCUAUCUUCUAGUUAAUUCUAGUUUCACAUUCGUUAUUCCUAGACAUACAACUAUGUGGUCACAAUAAAUCAUAUGAAAUUAAUAACUAAGAGAUGUUCAUACUACUUAAUUACUAAUUUAUUAAUAAAAGAAUAGUUAUUGUUAACAUAUAAGGUUCUUUAACAAGCUUAAUAAAACAUAAUCACCAAUUAAAAUUAAUCCUAAUCAAAUAAUCAAUCCAUGUUCACAAAUUCAUCUACCUAAACAGAAGUUAUGAGUUUUAGCUCAUGAUUACAGCAGAAACAAGCUCAAAAACGAAAUCAAUUGGUAAAAACAUAGUUCAAACAAGAGAUUAGGUAAAGAGUAAACUUGAUUUUGCCUUGAUUCUCCUUAAAAUUGAAUGUAGGGUUGAUUCCCUUGCUUCCCACGCUCCAGCAGCACCUUUAGUCGACAAUUGGCCUCCAAGGGUUCAUCUAUAUGCUAGGGUAUCGAUCUGAAAGUCCCUUUAUAUAGAUUUUCACAAAACAGAGGCUACUCAGCCAGUCCAAUGACCUACUCGGCGAGUCCGUCACUUAAAACCCAUGUACAGCAAGUCAACUCGUCCAGAAUCGCGAAAGUUCGAAGUGACUCGUCGAGUUUAUGGCCUACUCGUUGAGUCUGUUUGGAAUCAGCAUUCACUCAAAACACGAAAGUCGUCCGAAAUUGUGUCUACUUUUCAGAACAUUUUGAAUCUCGUCAAUCGGAGUUACGGUUCAUGAGAUAUGGCCAAAACACUGACGAGGGGUCAAGCUGUCCAGCAACAUCCUUCUUUCUUCAAAAUCCAAGAUCCAAGCGUCCAAUCGCUAGUUCCACUUCCUUUUCCAUCCGAGCAUGUAAUUGUUGCUGAAAAAUGAAAUUAUAAACUAAUUAAGCACCUUUUGUUCAUUAAAUGAGAUAAAAACAACAUAAAGUAUUAAGAUAAUGCAUGAAUUUUAUAACUAAAUAUGCCCAUAUCAAAAUACCCCACACUUGACUUUUGCUUGCCCCCAAGCAAAACUGAAUUUAAGCAUACUAAAAUCAUAUAAGACAAUCCCAAUCGAACCCAGCCAUUAUGUCAAGACCACAACGCAUGCAUUUGUGUCUAAAUUUUUUCCUAAGGACCCCCCUCAAUUCUAAAUACUCAUAAUCCUCAUAAACACUCGCCCACUUCUUUUGAACAACGCUCAUUUUAUGCAUCCCUCCGAAUCCAUCCCCAAAAAACUUUCUUAACCUCAAGUCAUUUUUGGUUAAAUCCCCAAGCAUACAUACGAUAAAAUAACCUAGAAAAGAAAAUUACAAAUACAACUUUUGAUUGAAUCUUUUAUACUUUGUAGCUUUUCUUCAUGAUAUUCUUCUUUGUCUUCAUAGCUUUGUAGAUUCUUUAUUCAAACAUUUCAUCACUCUUUUUUUCAACUUUUUUUUCUUUUUUUUUUCUUCUUUUUUUCUCUUUUUUUUUCUUUUUUUUUUCAACACACUUUUUCCAUUCAAAAUAAAAACCUAGAAAAACAUAUGCUUAAGCAAGGGAAUUUAACUUCAUCCUUUAUUGGUUAAAGGCAUUAGUCUAGUGUGGAAUGACUACUUAAGCUUUCCUGGAUACAUUUCUGGUACACGAUGCUAAACAUAUUGUGUCCCUCAAACUAAGCGAGGUUGUGUUUUUGUCCCAUGAUUUCAAUAGAAUAAGGGAAGCCACAAAUGCAUUAUAACGUGUAUAGGCUCAACUAAACAUUUAGGUCCUCAAAGAAUCAUCGAACAUAAUACUUGCAUGAACCCUAAUUACUUUUACCAAAAUUUUCUAAAUUAAUCCUAGCAAAUUUUAUGCAAAAUUUUAAAAUUUAACUAGUGUAACCAACCAACCCCCUACCCCACACUUAAUUUAUGCAAUGUCCCCAUUACAUAUCAUGCAUGAUAAAGAACAAUAAAAAUAAGGAGAGAAUUGGAACAAACUCCCCUGGGAUAGUAGUGGCGAUGUUGAUAUCUAUUCUCUUCAGCUCCAUCUUCAAUUGACUUUAGACAUGGGAACUGCUCAUCCAUGCCUUGGGUGUCAAAAUCUCGUGUGGUGCAGUUCCAAUUAUAAGGGACAAACUCUUGGAAAUGCUCGGAAAACGAUCUUCAAAGAAUAGAACCAAUGCCCAUAUCCACUGUCAUCAAAUCUUCAACUCAAAAGUAAGAAGAAUGAGCGACUCGUCGAGUAAGUAUGUAGACUCGCCGAGUUGAAGCGUAAAUGGCAGAAGAAUCGUGAAUUUUCACAUGGACUCGGCGAGUCGAUAAGAUGCACUCGGCGAGUAGAACGUUGUGUGACAAAAAUUUUAUUCUGCCCAAGUCCGUUUCUGAUGUAUGGGGGUUAUAUAAACUAAUAAUUUCCCUCAUUUUUUUCAGGGAAUAAACACUCUAUGACGCUUCUAUUAAUUGGACUUAUAGCUUGACUCAAAACUUCGUUUCCUCUCUCGCCUAGACUCGAUUUCUCGCUUCGUCAGCCUUGACUCUAGACCCUCACAUGUAAUCCUAAGCUUCAAACUGAAAAGAUCAAAACAACACACAAGUAAUAGAAAAAUGAAAUCAAACAUCAAAAUUAAAUUCCUAAAUUACCAUAAUAAACUAGAAGUUUAGAAAGAAAAAGAAAAGCAAACUCUAAUGACGGGUUGCCUCCCGCAAGCGCUUCUUUUUGUGCGAGUCUUGAGCUGGACUCCCAAUUUAAUAAACAUUCAAUAAACUCAAUGCCAAUCCAUCCAUUGCAUUAAAUAUUUUUUUGGACCAAAUUGUAAAAUUUGGCUCUUUGCUUCAAAAAUUGGCCAAACGAGCUUUAAUUCAUGUAACCCAAGAAACUUGACAAGGGUUGGAACCGGUUGGAUACUAAUCAUAAAUGGAUCGUGAUUUAGAACUUUUUCCAAAGUUGGAAUCGUCACCCCAUGCUUCGAAACACAAACCGGAAGAACAGGGGACCAUGUCGUGGUAAUGGUCAAACCACGAGUUGGUUCCUGCAAUUCAGCUUGUUCUUGUUCUUCUUCUGAACUCUCUGCUAGCAAUCUUUCCAGCCCAUCCAAGUCUCUUUUUGGAUUAAAUUCUUCAUCUUGUAACUCAGAUGUCCCUUUUGUGUUGGGCAAGAUGUUAUCUAACCAUCUAUCAAAUUUCUUCAAAUCUUCAUCUGAGUCAUAAUCCUUAUUUUUGCAGGGCCAUAAAGGUCUANNNNNNNNNNNNNNNNNNNNNNNNNNNNNNNNNNNNNNNNNNNNNNNNNNNNNNNNNNNNNNNNNNNNNNNNNNNNNNNNNNNNNNNNNNNNNNNNNNNNNNNNGAACCGUUCCCCGGCAACGGCGCCAAAAACUUGAUGUGUGUAAAACCAACUAGUUUUAAUCCUACUAACUUAAACACAAAGACGAACACACGAAAGGCAGUGUACCUAUCGAUUAGCAGUUUAGUUCAGGUAAGUAGGGUAUCGAACACAGGGAACGGUAAACAAUUAAAAGAAAUGCUAAUAUUAUCUAAAUAAAACAAGUAAUAGAAAGGGUGUUUCUCUAGUUAUGCAAGACUAGACACUUAAACAAUUAAUUAAAACUUAAACUAAGAAACUAAGAGCUAAGCAAAUAAUAAUCAACUAAAUUCAAUAAUAAAGAGGACUUCUGUUUAGGUUCGACUCAUUUGUUCCCAUGGAUGAUUUCAAUGUAUCGGAUUAAUUCUUCACUGGCUACCGACUAAGAUGAUUAGUUUCAUGUUCGCAAUUACUAAUCCUUAGCAAACAAAUUAACUCAAGCAGUAGCCAGUUGUCUAAAUUAAUGGAUUUCCUAGUUAUUGAUUCGGGUUAAAUAAGACUUGUAAUGGUUAAUUAAAUUGGCCCAUCAACCUCUUGCUGAUGUUCAUCAAACAAGCUCACACAUUAACUUACCUAUCUUCUAGUUAAUUCUAGUUUCACAUUCGCUAUUCCUAGACAUACAACUAUGUGGUCACAAUAAAUCAUAUGAAAUUAAUAACUAAGAGAUGUUCAUACAACUUAAUUACUGAUUUAUUAACAGAAGAAUAGUUAUUGUUAACACAUAAGGUUCUUUAACAAGCUUAAUAAAACAUAAUCACCAAUUAAAAUUAAUCCUAAUCAAAUAAUCAAUCCAUGUUCACAAAUUCAUCUACCUAAACAGAAGUUAUGAGUUUUAGCUCAUGAUUACAGCAGAAACAAGCUCAAAAACGAAAUCAAUUGGUAAAAACAUAGUUCAAACAAGAGAUUAGGUAAGAGUAAACUUGAUUUUGACUUGAUUCUCCUUAAAAUUGAAUGUAGGGUUGAUUCCCUUGCUUCCCACGCUCCAACAACACCUUUAGUCGACAAUUGGCCUCCAAGGGUUCAUCUAUAUGCUAGGGUAUCGAUCUGAAAGUCCCUUUAUAUAGAUUUUCACAAAACAGAGGCUACUCGGCGAGUCCAGUGACCUACUCGGCGAGUCCGUCACUUAAAACCCGUGUACGGCAAGUCAGCGCGUCCAGAAUCGCGAAAGUUCGAAGUGACUCGUCGAGUUUAUGGCCUACUCGUUGAGUCCGUUUGGAAUCAGCAUUCUCUCAAAACACGAAAGUCGUCCGAAAUUGUGUAUAGUUUUCAGAACAUUUUGAAUCUCGUCAGUCGGAGUUAUGGUUCAUGAGAUAUGGCCAAAACACAGACGAGGGGUCAAGCUGUCCAGCAACAUCCUUCAUUCUUCAAAAUCCAAGAUCCAAGCUUCCAAUCGCUAGUUCCGCUUCCUUUUCCAUCCGAGCAUGUAAUUGUUGCUGAAAAAUGAAAUUAUAAACUAAUUAAGCACCUUUUGUUCAUUAAAUGAGAUAAAAUCAGCAUAAAGUAUUAAGAUAAUGCAUGAAUUUUAUAACUAAAUAUGCCCAUAUCACAUAUCAUAUCGAUUCCGACUAAGACGAGUAUGUUACGCGGUUCAAAGAACCAAGAUCGUUGUAGCAUCUGAUUUAAGCCAGAAGAACGAAAAGAAAAAUAAUCGAAGCAAUCAGUAGAAGUAUCAUGAUUGUUGUUCAAGUAAGAAGCUUGUAGCUAAAAGUGCUACAUGCUAGAAUGUGAUUAAAUCACAUUAGAACAUCAAGGAAGGUAUAUUCCAUUAUGGAAUUUGACUCUAAGAGACCUAAGUCUAAGCAUUGAAUCAUUACGACAUGAGGUCAUUGGAACAUGACCCAUCGAUUUGUCAUGAUAAUCAAAGUAAAGAACUUCUCUUAAGUUAAUUUUGUUUAAGAUGAAGUAGGAGUCUCCAUAAAGGAUCAAUUUUCUAAAUCGAAGGUUACGAUUGGAAUUCCAAAAUUGGAUAAAGACCGGGUGUAAGAUUAAGCAUCACCUGCAGUCAAGAAGUCCAAGAGUUAAAUACUCAUAUGAAGGAACAAAAGAGUUACGUUUAUUACCUAGGAUGAAGAGAUAAUGUAUGGAGUCAUUAUACAAGCCCUGUUGCGUUGAUGAUUCCAAGACGUAAUCAUCCUAAGGGGGAGAUAAUUGUAACGCCAGCAGAUUCAGGCUAGUCAAUUUAGAGAUAAUAAGUGUCAAAAACGAAUUUUUGAUAGAAGAUUAUUUAGAAUAAAUAAUCUUAACUAGGUUGUAGUAUAUGUCACAAGAGUUUCGUAUAUAUAAAGAACACUGAAAUCCGAGUUAUAACGAAGAAGUUAUGACAUGUCGAAGUUUCGAGACAAAACUGGCACGACGUUGUGUUAUGUGAAAAGUACGUUUGUGUUAAAAUACUUUUUAGCCUUAGCGAUCUAAACGAAAGUCUUACUAUACAUUAAACUCAGAGCAUGCAUAAAAAGAACACCCAAAUCUGACUUUGUAUGAGGAAGUUAUGAUUUUUCUAAGAUUUGGCAUAAUAGUAUGCAACCCGAAAUUCAAAUUUUAGAUCGACCGAUUUUUAGCCGACACAACCUAAACGAGAAUCGAAGAUGUAGUUAAUAGGAGCUCAAUGAUAAAAAAGACAGACUAAAAUGGACAUCGGAUGAAGAAGAGCUUUUCGGCUUGGAAGUUCUGCCUCACAGAGCCCGAUUCCUAGCCAAACCCAUCUGUAAGUGAGAUAUGCUUACCCUACAUUAAGUAUAGCUUAAGUUUAAGUUCAAUAUCAUUAUUAUGAACAUAUAAAAAAUAUAUCUUAUAAAAUAUAAUAUACAAAGUGUUAUUAUAAGAUCUUUUAACUACUCGCAGUACAGAGAAUCUGGUUUGAAGGCCCACCUAGGUUGUUGGAUUUCAGAAGUGAUAUAAUCCUAAAAUCGUCCUGCCCUCCGGUGUUUCAUGUUUUGCCCCUUGUCAAUACAUAGUGGUUGAAAAGCAUUGUUUAACACUUAUAAAACAAUAUCACUUGUAAUUAUUCGCAAUAAAUACUAGACUAAAAUCUAAUAGUAAUAAUACUAGGUUUCGUCGAAGGAAAAAAAAUUAUUAGAAACGUAUCGCUGCCCAAGUUUGGAAUCAUCACAUUAAUAAGUGAGCGCAUAGUUACUUUUAUCUUACACAUAUAUAUGAAGUAUUUGAUAUAAAUUACGUGCUAUGUGUGCAUAUUAUCUGUGUUCUUGAUAUCUAUGUUGGAUGAACAAAAUAUACAUGUUUUAUUUGAUUUAAAAUGUAUACAUAUUUUAUACCUAUAAUUUUAAUAGGUAAAGAUCGGUAGAUGAAAUAUGAGAUGAGAGAUGAAAGAUGAGAUGAAUGAUUAACAAUGAGAAAUGAAAGAUGAUAUAGAUGAUGAAAGGUGAAAGAUGAUGAAAAGCCUUGACCCAAACGAUGGCCCAAUCAUCUAGCAGAGUAUAGAUGAAAACCACGGGAUAUUCUAGACAGUCCAGUGGAACACUAGCAGGAUCGCAACCUGUAGGUGUUGUGAAUGAUAUGUUCACCAAAUGUACUCUGAAAACCCUGACAGUUAUGGACUUAGUGCCUCACAAAUGAACAUUCGAAACUAUGGAUUUAGUGCCCUAUAGAUGAAUAUUGGCAGUUAUGGAUUUAGUUCCAUACAAAUAAACAUUGGCAGCUAUGGAUUUAGUGCCCUAUAGAUGAACCUUGACAGCUAUGGACUUAGUGCCUAACAAAUAACAUCAACAUCUAUGGGCGUAGUGCCUGUUAUAUAAAUCGUGGCGGCGAUGGACUUCAUGCCUAUUCUUAGGACAAUCCUUAGAAAUAAAUAUUGAGGAAUAGAUGAUUCUUAGGGAAGAUACUUAAGAAAAAAGAAGAUAAUGGGGAUGAGUAAUUGGGUUAAUUGUUUGAUGGUGAAACUUAAUAACUUUAUUAUUGUGGGUUGGAAACCCUAUGUACUUACCAGGUUCCCCAACCUCACCGACUCAAUUUAUUUGUAUCAUAGGUGUCGAUACGAAGCUACAUUACACGGAGAUAUUAACGGAGAUGUAGAUCAUUAGUAUAAAAGAACGUAAGGUCUGUUUCUGCUUAUGGUUCUCUAUUGACGAUGACAUCCCAAUUGUUUUUAAUAUAUAUAAAAUACAUUUCUUUGAAAAUGCUUUGACAAUAUAUUUAUCAUGAUUUCUGGGAACAAAUUCCGCAAUAACAUUCUUUAAAAUGAAUACUCCGAUUUUCAAAUAUACAUAAAUAAAAUUUUUAAAAUGACCAUGAAUUUGGGGAUGUCACAGAAUGCCAACACACUAUGAGUCCAAUCAACCAUCAGGUUUGAAUACCCCAGGCCUAAUCAGCCAUCAGGUUGGAAUGCCAAUAUACAAUGGGUCCAGUAAUCCUUGGGAUGGAAUACCCUCAGGCCCAUUCAACCAUCGGGUUGGGAUGCCCCGGCUUGUUGGCUUACGUACAAAGCAAAGAACCCCCAGCCACCAAUCAAACAUGUGCACAUAUAACAGAUUAUCAUAUAACAGUCUACAGCCAGUCAAACAGAUUUACAGAUCACUAAGCAUAGCAACAUUUUAUCUACCAAGUUACCGAUCUAACAGAUCAUAACAGCACAACAACAUCCUAUCUAUUAGGAUAUUGAUCUAACAGAUCAUAACAGUACAGUAGCAUGCAUAAUAGUAUAUCAAUCCAAUGGGUCGACAUUGCUUCUUUCGACCCGCAAGUACAAUGAGGACAACUCACCUCGAUAGUUGAACCCACGAAUAAUCUUUGACUGUAGAUCCGCUAGAAACCCCGCGCUAUCAAACAAACAACACCUAAUUAACACAUGAGUUUCAAACCAUAUCCAUAAAUCCACAAACAAUCCAACUAAUCAGGCCUACUAAUAGCUCAAGCCCAUUGGGCCUACUAAGGCCCAAACCAUUGGGCCCACUAAGGCCCAAGUCCAUCAAUCCUAGGCCAAGAAAGGAAAGCCCAAACAAGAGUCCAAGACUCUAAGAUUCCUCUGCCCAAUAAACCCAAACCCAAGUCUAAAUCCCAAAGAAUGAACAAGACCAAAAGUCCACAACUGAACAUAUGUGGUGCGUACCCCCUAGGUAAUACUCGAUGAUUUUGGAUGGGGUCUCAGACCAGUACGCGAGGCGUACUUGCAUUUACGUUGGGCGUACUUGCAACUUUUCCAAAACAUUAACCAUGACAUAAUCCCUUAAGUCCUUUGCAACCAAACCUCAUAAAGCCUUCAGUAUAAGUUCUUAACUGAUAAAGUUGGCAACUUUAUCAGUUUGCAUAUCUUAAUGGGAGCCAACUUCCAAAUAUAACCAUUAAGACCCACAUUAAGCACCUUAACACAUGCAUGGUCCAUUCUUAAACAUCAAGCAAGCGUUUUUACGAACUUAUAAACUUAGAAAGGGCAAGAUCUAGCAAUCCUAUCUCCUAAAGUGGCUCAAACUCAUAAGGAGGACUCAAAACUCCAAAAUAAGCAUAAAUCUAGUCUUAAACCCAUAAAGCAUAACAAGAAGCCAAGGUAUGAACUUGAUACCUUAAAUGAGCUAGAAAUAAAAGCCAAGAGUUUGGAUCUAAGUCUUCCUUUGAACCCCAAGUUAGCACCAAACACCUUUUCCUUGUAAAUGAGCAAAAGCACACCAAAAUGCACACUUAGAUCUCACAACACUCAACGAGAGGUUAGGGUUUUUGAAAUGAGGCUAGAGGUCAGUGGAGGCUGAGAAAUGAGAGAACCUUGACCUUACAAGGAUGUUUAAAUAGUGCAUAAGCCCUAAAAAUUAGGGUUUGGCACUCUGCCAGUUAUGUUGGGCGUAUGCGACCAAACACGUGCCUAAUUUCCUUGCAUGCAUGGGACCAACUAGAAAAACUUUUCUAAUAUAGGCCAUAUUUGCCAAUUAUUCAAACUUCCAUAACUCCCUCGUCUUAGGUCCGUUUCUGUCACAACCCCAAAACCGGAACGGCGGAAACGUUCUGGGGUGGAUGACGUCAUGUCAAGUAUCACAACAUAUGCAGUAUAGUAAUCAAAGUACAACAACCAUUGCAUUAAUAGUAAUAGUUUUACAUAAGUUACAUUUCAUAGCAACAUCAAAGUAAUACAAGUAAUAAUAUAGGUGCAGCUUGGUACUAGGCUGACUUUGCCAAAAGCUCCUGGGGUCUACCUGUUUAUUGCUGACCUGAGAAUACAAGUUAUUUUAAAUGCGAGUAUCAUCAUUUUUAUAAAUGCUGGUGAGUUCAUAAGUAUUCAGUGUCAUUUGUGUAAGUGAGCAUUUUAUUCAAAAUAACUUUAUAAAAAGUAGUAGUUUAGAAUCUACGGUGUAUUAGAGUCCUAUCCAGAAAAUCCUAUAUUUUCUAAAUAAAAGCAGUCUUCUACCAAGACUCGACAGAGUUAUGUUUUAAAGAGUAAUUUUCCCCGAAAUACUAUCAUAACCAAAAUACGGUAUUUGAUUUUUAAUGAAAGUGGGAGGAUAUCACUAGUAAAAAUACUAGGGGAAAAUAACAUAUGCCUCAGCAGAAAAUACUGCUGACUAAGGCAAAAGAAAUCAUAGACUCCAAGAGAGUAUCGAAUGAAUGAUACGCCUGGCUCAGUCUAACAAAAGAAAACAUAGACCCUAGACGGUAUCAAAUGUACGAUACAGCUAGCAAGGUCUAAAACAAAGAAACACAUACCCCAGACAGUAUAAAAUGAAAGAUACAGCUAGCAAGGUCUAAAACAAAGAAACACAGACCCCAGACAGUAUCAAAUGAAAGAUACAGCUAGCAAGGUCUAAAACAAAGAAACACAGACCCCAGACAGUAUCAAAUGAAAGAUACAACUAGCAAGGUCUGAAACAAAGUGAAAUCUUAAAUGGGUUGUUUUAAGAAUACAGUGUUAAAUUCUCGUUACCUUAAGGCCAUGAAUUAUAAGGUACACAUGGAGAUACCCGUAACCAUACUGAUUGACACUAGAGUACUUGACGCCCUGCAAACGUCAGAAUAAAUGUGACAUUUGUCACCCCUUGGCUUGGUAGGCCGUGGACUGUAGCUAGCAGUCAGGGUGUGGGAGUGUCAGUCCCGUAUAGAUCUAUACACACAAUGCCCACUCUCCCUACAGGAGAAUCUGGUUACCAACUCGACAACGAGGAGAUCCGUGUCUUGAAGAUGCAUCUUGUAUAGUGAAUUCUGAUGUAAGUGUUGGACUAACGAUAGAGACUCACAACUGAACUAACUCCUUUGGAAUUCGCGUACUAGAAAGAGUAAAUAGAGCUUCCUAACUAUUCCUAUAAUAGUUACUAGUGUCCCUGAUCUAUGAGUGACGAGUGGGAGGAUGCCCUUGCUACCCAAGGAACAUGAACUGGUCGAUGGAAACCUUAAUGUCUAUACAUGUAUACAUGAUAUAUAAUUAAUGAUUAAACAACCUUCGGACGAAUAUCCGAUACCCACCAGACGACAUCCAAACGAGGAAAAGGAAAUAGGGCGAACUAGCCUUCCUAAGUCUUUUAAACAUUAUUUAUAUAACUAUACAAGUACAGGCAUGCAUUUAAUGAAGCAGAAGUAUAGAAGUAUAGAAGAAAACUUUGGUAAAACUUUUGGAAAACCUUUAAAAAUAAGAAUAUUACGACUUGAUAUAGUUAUGUAAAACAAGCUUUGAAAACCGUUCAUAAACACGUUUUGAAUAUAAUUUGAUAACACAAUAUAAGUAAAGAAAACCUCUGUUUAAAAACCCUGUUGUAACUGGUUUAGAAGUAAAACAUACCGCACGAGAGAUAAGUUGAGAAAAGAUUUAAACAAAUAAAAACGUUUUGGAAAAACCAUCUAUGGUAUUAUACUUGGUAAAACAACUGAAAGUGUGAUAAAUCCUUGUGCAUGCGGGUUAUUAAUCACAUAUAAUUGAUAUGAUAACUAGCAUGUUUUAACCUGUAUUCCCCCCCCCCCCCCAAAAAAGCAUGCAAAACAUUAAAAAGCAUUUCAAAGGUUAAUUAANACACACCUGUUGUAAGUGGAUCGGGCGGAGGUGUCGGUUGGGUGCUCGGUGUCAAUUAAAGAAUUGAACACACUUAGUGACCUAUUAACAUAUGAUGACAUAUGUUUACAUACAAUUAGUAAUUAUAAUACUAAUUAAACACGUAAACGCAUCCUAAUGUGCGGAAAACACUUUGGUCAAGUGCUAGGAGGCUAUUGGGUUGCAAAUAAGGGAGUGUAUGGCCUAGAUAGGGAGUUUACUCUUCAAGAGUAAACUCUUUAUAGAGUUUACGGCCCUAAGACCAUAUCCCCAUGAGUUUACGGUCGUAGAGUUGGAGCGGAUCAUUUUAUAAGGAAGGUAAAGCAUGUGAAGCAGUAGAAAAUGGUAUAUCAUAGAGCUUCAAUUCAGUAAUUAUGGAGGAAAGGACUAAACCACUUCUUACUAUGUUGGAGGAGCUCAGAAUGUAUGUUAUGGAGAGGUUUUAUAGGAUGUCUACAAUACACUUAACAUGGAGGGGAGAUGUAUACCCUACAAUAUUGACAAAGUUGGAUGACUGGUGUAAAGAUAUGAGGUAACAUUAUUGACUAACAUUAUUCAAUAUUCAGUAAGAUUAUUCAGUAAGAUUAUUCACUAACAUGUAUUGCAUGAAUUACAGGUUGUGGAGUGUUGUAGCUAGUGACACAAAUGUAUUUGAAGUGAGACUAGGAUUUGAGUCUUUUACGGUGGACUUAGGAGAACAAUUCUGCACUUGUAGAUUAUGGGAAAUAUCUGGGAUUCCAUGUAACCAUGCAUGUGCAGCUACGAACCACACACAACUGUUGGAUAAGGUGUCUAAGUCCAUAACUAUUUCGGGCUUGUACUUGACCCGACCCGGCAUGGUCCAUUUGGGUUGCAUGGCACCAUGCAAUUGGAUAGACUAAAUGAGAGAAAUAACACUUGGAGAUUAUUAAUAUAUUAUAAGUUCUAAUAUAUUAAUAAUAUUAUUUAAUUAGUUGAUCAAAGAAUUAAUUUGGAAUUAAUUAAGUGAUCAAAGGAUAACUAAUUAAAUAUAUGGGUUGGUUAUGUAAAUCAUCCAUAUCUUGUAUAGUGGGCUAAGAGGCUCCAUGGAUUAUCAAGUUGGGUUCUACCCAUAGGAUGCUCCAUGGAUGCUCCAUGGGAGUUACAAACCCAUGGGUCAUGGAAAUGAAGAGUCAUGACACAUUAGGGUUUACAUGGUGUAACCCUAGAUGUGUCAACACUAUAUAAGAAUCAUAUUCUCCACCAAAAUCGGCUACACUAAGAAACUAGAGGGCUUGGCCGAUUUUGAGAAGUGUGUGUUAUCUCAAGAGUCUUUCCAAGAGCAUUUGGUGUUGUGUGAAGCAUUUGAGGCAUCACACUUGGGGUGCUAGGCUCACAAGGUUUCAAGGAACACAAGCAACAACAAGGUAAGUUAUUCUAUCUAUGAUUCAAGUUAAAAUUGUUCCCCAUGUAUGCUAGAUAGGAAUAUAACCUUGGAAUUCAACUUUGCAUGAUAAUUAGACAAACAUAGAUCCAAGGUUAUUAGGGUUGCAUGUACACUUAGGAAGUGUUAGAAUGCUCAAAACCCAUCAGUGGUAUCAGAGCCUAGGCUUGUUUGUUUGUUAUUUGUGCUUAAAAGUUGAAGAAAGUCGAAAAUCUUGCUGUCUGACUGAUGGACUCGGCGAGUCCAUGGGGAGGACUCGUCGAGUUCAUGUGUAUCUUCAACCUACUCGGCGAGUAGGUUUAUGCACUCGGCGAGUAGGGUCGACAGAGUGCAGAAUUUCGACUUGAGUUGCUGGAAAUGGAUUAGAAUCAUUACCCUAAAAUGUUUUGGUACUUGAAAACUUAUUUUAGAAGGUGUAAUGUCUUUUCUAACUCAUUUACAACAACUAGUUAUCAAAAUUACAAAGAUUAAAUGUGAUUUUGAUUCUUGAAAGUGUUCAUAUUCAUAUUCUUGUUCUUAUGAUGUUUAGAUGAUCAUAGGAAUUAUUUGUAACCUAUGUGGUAGAUUAAUUCAUGAUCAUAAUGUGUUUUAAUGGAGUCCAUAACUUGUCCUCAAGUUAUGGAAAACCAAAAGUCUCUUGGAUUAAAAACCAUUAAAAGAACACAAGAGUUAGGAAAAAUGAAAAGUCCUCAUUUUAUUACUCUAUUAAACUCAUAAGUUACAAGAAAUGAAAAGUUUUGAAAGUUUACAAAACUUGCCCUCAAGUUUUGGAACAAGUAAAGUUAAGUUAAAACUUUAGUUCCAACCCCUAGAAUUUUAAAAGUUAAAAUUCAACCCUUAUACUUAUAUUAUUAUGAUUUAAUAAUUAUAUAUAUAUGUAUAAGAACAAAGUCGUCUUACCGCUAGUACGCCUCAUUCACGAAGCCGGUCUAUAAGGUGGGUAUAAGGUUGUUGCCUAUAAAAUGGUGACUUAAUGGGUGUCCACUCUCACCCACCGCUUGCUUGAUCGGUGGAGGGUCGUUAGCCGAACGGGUAAGACAAGGACUUAUUAAUUCUCAUUCAAAGUAUGAUGAAUAUUAUAAAGUAACUAAAUGUUUUAUUAAAUUCCCAAUCUUAGUUACUUUAGGAAAAAUGUGAAUAAGGUGCUAUUCCAUGAAAUUACACUUUACACUUUGAUUAAGUCGUUGGUGGAGCGUGUGUGGUUAACCGGCACACUAACUUGGACUUAACAAGGUAGGUAAAGGGUGACUUAGGGUUUAUUAUAGUAUCGAUGGAGCGUGUGUGGUUAACCGGCACAUCGAUUGAGUGAUAAACUUUAAGGGUACCAAGUGAUUUGCAUGGUUACUUCACACCUCGUUUUGUGAUCCUCGGUAUCCCAGUCACAAAACUUGGAGGGCACACUCGAGAUUGAAACAUGCCUUUGAAAAGUUCAUUGAAUCUCAAAGAAUCUAGGAAUUUCUAAGAACCAUUCAAAAACCUAAUACUAAAAUAUUGCGGUUUUCGUGGUGGAAAUUGGUGAAUCGUCAUUCACCUACCUUUCAAAUAUGAUAUAGCUUAGAUUACGGCAUACCUCUUCUAAGUUAUAUUAUAUUGUGAUUGGAUCCUAGCCUUAAUAUUACAUUUGGGUGUUUUAUUAAGGACUCUCUUAUAUCUAAACUAAUCUUGUCCUCUUUCCUUCAGAUGUCUUUCAACAAUGCUUCUGGCUCUAAUCCUAAUGGCUCCUUUACCCUUAUGAACUUGUGUGGGAAAGUCACCUUUGAUGGAUCCAACUUCAAUGAGUGGAUCAGAAACAUCAGGAUGAUUACCCGCUACGAGGACAAAGAAUAUGUCCUUGACAAGGAGCUUAAGGAGAUUGAUGAGUCCACUGCAACUCCUCAGGAGAUCGCUGAAUUUCGGGCACAUGAAAGGGAUGCUACGAAAGUGGCUUGCAUCAUGAUGGCCACGAUGACAGCGGAACUCCAAAAGUCUUAUGAGGAUUUCUACCCUUAUGAAAUGCACCAAGAUUUGAUGGAAAGAUACCAUCAAAGUGCAAGACAAGAGAGGUAUGAAAUCAUCUGCUCCAUGAUAACAACCAUGAUGAAGGACGGGGAAUCCGUCACGAGCCACAUGCAGAAAAUGCAAAGGUAUGUGGAUCGUUUGCUGAAGCUUAAUGUGAACUUCCCGGAGGAUCUUGCAAUAGAUAUUAUUUUGCAUUCCUUACCAUCGUGCUAUGAUCAAUUCCGCAUGACAUAUCACAUGAACAAGGAAGAAGUCACCCUCAGCAAACUUCAGGGACUUCUCAAGACCGCAGAAUCAGGUCUUAAGGGGAAGUCGGUUGCUAUCACUCCUACUCAAAACUCUACUCCGGUUUUGGCAAUCGGGAAAAGUCGAGGGAGGAAGAGAAAGAGCUCUUCUAAGGGUACCAAGGUUCGGACCCUUGAUGGCUCUUCUUCAAGUGGAACCAAGAAAGGUUUCAUUACUCCUUCUUCUGACCCAAAAGAGGCUGAAUGCUUCUAUUGCCAUGAAAAAGCUCAUUGGAAGCGGAACUGCCCAAAAUACCAGCAAGAUGUGAAGGAUGGGAAAGUUAAACCCAACCAUGCAGGUAUUUACACUAUCAUUUCUAAUAACUCACCCCAUUCUAAUUCUUGGGUCCUUGAUACCGGGUGUGGUAUUCACAUUUGUUGUGACUUGCAGGGACUAAGAAGAAGUGAGGAUGUGGAGCAAGGAAGGAUAAACUUGAUCAUGGGGAAUAGGAAAGCUAUACCUGUUACCAAGAUUGGAGUUUAUACUUUAUCGCUAAGUAGUGGGUUUAGUUUAGAUUUGAAUAAGUGUUGUUAUUCGCCAGGAAUGGCAAGAAAUAUUAUUUCCUUUCAUGCUUUGUACAAACAAGGGUUUACCUUUUCAUUUAAUAAUGAAGUUGGUUCUAUAGAUGUUUUCUAUAAUAAUGUCUUUUAUUUUAAAGCAUUACCUUGUGAUGGUGUGUAUGAAGCUGUAUCUGUUGUAGAUAACUUGGGAAAUAAUGUUUUGUGUAUUGAUUCUACUAAUAAUAACUUGGAUAAAGCAUCUUUAUGGCAUUGUCGUCUUGGACAUAUAAGCAAGAAACGCAUAGGCCAACUCCAAAAGGAUGGAGUCUUGGAGUCGUUUGACCUAAAGUCAGAUGAUAGUUGCGAAUCAUGCUUACUUGGAAAAAUGACAAAGUCACCCUUCACAGGUUCGUGUGAGAGGGGUGAAGGUUUGUUGGACCUUAUACACACGGAUGUGUGUGGACCAUUCAAACAUGCCACAAGGGAUGCUAAUCGUUAUUAUUUGACUUUUACUGAUGAUUAUAGUAGAUAUGGAUAUGUCUACUUGAUCAAGCAUAAGUCAGAGACUUUCGAGAGGUUUAAGGAAUUUAAACAGGAAGUCGAGAAUCAAUUGGGCAGGAACAUUAAGAUGCUUCGAUCCGAUCGUGGUGGUGAGUAUCUUAGUUCAGAGUUCCUCGACUAUCUAAGGGAAUGUGGGAUAGUCUCACAAUUGACACCUCCCAGGACACCACAGUUGAAUGGUGUGGCUGAGAGGCGUAAUCGAACCUUGUUAGAUAUGGUUCGUUCCAUGAUGAGUCGAGCUACGCUACCAAUCUCAUUCUGGGGGUAUGCCUUAGAGACUGCCGCCCAUAUUCUUAAUCUAGUCCCUACAAAGAAAGUUGCCAAAACUCCUCACGAGAUGUGGACUGGUAAAGUACCUAAACUAGACCACAUCAAGAUUUGGGGUUGCGAGGCUUUCGUGAGACGCGAGACUCAUGAUAAGCUCGAACCUCGAAGCGAGAGGUGUAUUUUCAUCGGUUACCCACAGCGAUCCUUUGGUUACCUCUUCUACAGACCUAGUGACAAUGUGGUCUUUGUAGCAAGAAGAGGAGUCUUUCGAGAAAGAGAGUUUAUAAGCCAAGGAGACAGUGGGAGGCAAAUUGAUCUUGAAGAAAUUCAAGAAUCAAGCGGUGAAGGAACUUCAAACUCUAGCCCUCAACUUGAGGAGGAAACUCCUGUUGAGCCAAUUGACAAAUCUGUACCUCUGAGACGUUCCACGAGAGUUAGGAGUGCACCUGAGCAUUACUAUGGAUUCCAUAUUACUGCAGAAGGUGAGACACUUAUUAGUGAUGAGACACUAGUAAGUCAAGAUGACCCUAACAGCUACGAGGAAGCCAUGGCAGGCCCCGAGUCUGCUAAAUGGAAAGAGGCUAUGGAUAGCGAGAUACAAUCCAUGUAUGACAAUCAAGUUUGGAACUUGGUUGAAAAUGUACCAGGUCGUAAGACAGUAGGGUGCAAAUGGGUCUUCAAGAAGAAGACCGACAUGGAUGGUAAAGUACACACUUAUAAGGCUAGACUGGUUGCAAAGGGCUUCUCUCAAAUUCCUGGAGUGGAUUAUGAUGAGACCUUUUCUCCGGUAGCCAAGAUUAAGUCUAUUCGGGUUCUGUUAGCCAUAGCUGCAUUUCAUGACUAUGAAAUAUGGCAGAUGGAUGUCAAAACCGCUUUCCUUAAUGGAAAGUUGGCUGAAGAUGUUUACAUGAGUCAGCCAGAGGGUUUUGUCAGCAACGAGUACCCUAAUAGAGUGUGUAAGCUUGAGAAAUCCAUUUAUGGAUUGAAGCAAGCACCUCGCAGAUGGAAUCUUUGCUUUGAUGAAAAGGUCAAGGAAUUUGGCUUUUCUAGGAGUGAAGAUGAAUCUUGUGUGUAUGUCAAGGCUAGUGGGAGUAUAGUUAGCUUUUUGGUAUUGUAUGUGGAUGACAUACUACUCAUAGGAAACGACAUUCCAACCCUGCAGGAAGUAAAGUCCUGGCUUGGGAAGUGUUUCGCUAUGAAGGACCUUGGUGAAGCUGCCUAUAUUCUAGGGAUAAGAAUCUUGAGAGAUCGGAGUAAAAGACUAAUUGGACUUAGUCAGAGUACCUACUUGGAUAAGGUGCUGAAGAGAUUCAGCAUGCAGGAUUCCAAGAAAGGAGAGUUACCCAUCCAGAGUAACACCAGAUUGAGUAAGACACAAAGCCCUAGCA